UUUUUUCUAACUGGUGCAGGUCUUGGGAUCUGGUGUCGGGUACUCCCGUGCGCGCUCCCUCGACCAUCCUGGGUACCCUGUGCCGGAAGUACUUCCCCAGCCUCGUGGAGUUGGCGUCGGGGGCCCGCGAGCCGGCCACCACCUGGGAUAGGUACGCUUUAGGGGAGGACGACACGUACAACCCCCAGGAGAGGAUACUGGCCGAGUUUUGGGUAAGUUCCUUUCGCACAACAAUAAUUCACCCAUUACAUUAAAAUCUAUUUUUUUUUAAAUAAUGAUUGGAUGUAUUAACUUUUGUGCAGAGGUACUUCAGGGUGGAGGACGAAGACGUGGCCCUGGCUGAGUCUGUGGCGCACGCCUCCUGUAGGAAGUAUGUCACCGACAUGCACCACGAGGCGCGCGUCCAGGCAGUGAUAGACUUCUACGCGUCGGCGCGUAGUAUGACUAUCACGAAGGCUCAGGCGCGGACGAUGACGAUGACUCAGGAGCAGUACUUGGAGGUAGAUGAAUAACAUUCAGAUUGUCUCUUUUUUGAAUUUAAUAUAUUCAAUUAUAUCUUCAUAUCUGUCAAACACUCAUUGUCUUAUAGGUGAUUCCCUGGUGGUGUCGGGCGCAUGCCGAUGCCUGGGCCGCGAUCGUGGGUAGGUGGUUCACGCAGGACUACCUAGACAGGCACGAGUCUCACCACCAAGGCAGCAAGAGCCUCCCCGCCUUCAAAAAAUCAUAUGUAAGUGAUUUGUCUUCUAUUUAGUUUCGCGUUUAAUGUAUGCUUGAUUACUCACCCUCUGUCGCUUUUCUCGUAGGAGGCUGCGCACCCGGACGAGGAGGUGUCCAUGUUCACGGCUUGGGCUGCGUCUCACCAGACUGCAGGCCAACGCAUCUGGGACGCAGCUGCCUCUCGCGAGGCAUACUCCGACCCCAACGUGUACGAUAAGGUCCAGGAGUACACGUCGGCGGUACGGGAGCGGCACAGGCCAGAGUACGACGUCCGCACCGAGCCACUAGAUGCCGAGGCUGUCAUGAGGCUCGGUGGCGGUAGGAAGCACGGCCGGGCCUGGAUCGCAAACGCCGCCAUCGACCCCAACACCACCCCCACUCUCAGCCAGCUCAGAGCACAGAGCACGAGCUCCAGCCAGCCCAUCCGUGCACGGCCGACUCCGACAGUGAGCAUGUUAGCUUCGCUCCAGGUAAUUCUAGGUUCUCUCAUAGUAAAUUAAUAUUCUCGCAACUGAAUUACAUUUGCAUUACUGAAACAUUGGAGUGUAAUCUUGCAGGACGACAACGCCCAGAAGACGGAGCAGAUCACGGCCCUCACUGCUCAGCUGGAGGCUGAGCGUCUCGCGCGAGAGGCCCAGGACCAGAGGAUGGCUGAGAUGAUGAGGGUCCUGGCCGCUCUGGGGCAGCAUACAGGUGUGGACGUCACGAUGUCAGCUCCAGCGCCUCAGCUUCCGACGCCGUUUAGUUCUACUGUAAGUGUCAAAGUUAACUUCUUCUUUGUAACUGUAGUGCAGAAAUAAUUACUGUAAUCUCACAUAAACAUCUAACUGUUUGUGCAGCCUCAGUCGAUAGCGGGAUCCAAUAACCCGCCUCGUACGUCACCGGAUCCUGGAGCCUUCGACACACCACCCUCGACGCAGAGGCAGGACGGCUGGGGACGAUGGUGACUUCUCGCAACCCUAUGGUGCGUACGUGUCGGCGGUUUGAAACUUUGGUUCGAUUUGGUGAACUUGUGGACUACUGGAUGGUCGUGAUAUAUAUACAUGAUCUUCGUGAUAUAUAUAUAUAUGUGAUGUUCGUGAGAUGUAUGUGCUCGUUGUCGACUCUGUGUGUGUGAAGGUAUAUAUAUGUAUCUGUCUAUUGUCUGGAUGCAAAUAAACAAAAAAAAAUUAAAAUUUCUCUGGUCUUUGCCGAGGGCCUUGACCAUAGCCCUCGGCAAAGAUUUUAAAUUUUUAUUUGGGUAAUUUCUUUGCCGAGAGCUACCAUGCAGGCCCUCGGCAAAGAAUUCUCCAGAAAAAAUAAAAAAAGAUACUUUGCCGAGGGCCUGCAUGGUAGCUCUCGGCAAAGAAAUUACCCAAAUAAAAAUUUAAAAUUUCUUUGCCGAGGGCCUGUAUGGGAACCCUCGGCAAAGAAUUUACCAAAAUAAAAAUUUAAAAAAUUCUUUGUCGAGGGCCCAACGUUCGGCCCUUGGCAAAGACGCCGUCAGUUACAGCCAGUGGCCUAACGGCAUCUUUUUUUCGCCGAAGGCCGGCGUCAGCCCUCGGCAAAAUCUUUGCCGAGUGCCCGACAGAAGGCCCUCGGCAAAGACCCCUUUGCCGACGGGAAAUUUCCCGACGGCUCUUUGCCGAAGGCAGCCCUCGGCAAAGCCUUUGCCGAGGGUCUUAUAGCCUUUGCCGAAGGCUGGAAGCCCUCGGCAAAUCCUCUCUACAGUAGUGCUACGAUAAUUUCCAUCAUGCAUGACACCCAUGAAACCCACCUUUCUGAUCUUAAGUACAAGAGUCAAAUUGAUUAGCCACACCAAAACUUGAGCCCCUGAUCCAACCAAAGCGCAUGAGUAAAGGAAAGGCCGCCAUCCCAUGUCUCCAUCUCCGGUUUUAUCGAUGGGAUCAUCGCCAUCAACAGCAGGUUGACAAGGAGGGAAAAUCGCGCUGCCAAAAGGACGUUGGCAACAACCGUACAACUAGGUACCUUCCCCAACCCUUCGCGACAAGGGCCUGCUCCACAUAGACACGGAUCCCCACACCUAAAGCAUAAUGAUUUCCUCCAUUACUAAUGAAGGUACGUAAACUCAAGAGAUCUACUAAUCUAAGUCUAAGAUCAUGUGUCCUAAUCCUGUUUCAAUUUUAAUCCUAAGUAAUUUCUAACAGUUUGUUAUCAGGAUCGGUAUAAAUAAAUAUACUCUUAAGUUAUAUGCAUGUACCAGUGCAAUUCCCACUGAUGAGCAUAACAUGGAAAGUCAAGAUAGAACUUUCAUCAUAAUCAUCUAUGGACAAACUAAUUCCGACCUAACAUGUCAGCAUCAAACUCUUGGCUGACUUAUAUAAAAGAUCAAAAUUACAAUGUAAGGAGAAGUUGUCAAUGACUUUGUUUUUCCUAUUGCAGCGCACGAGCAUAUUUUGCUAGUAAAUAUAAUAUAAAAAUAUAUCUUAUGAAAAAAUUAAUAAUAGUCAUUUGAUAUUAUAAAUAUUAGUAUUUUUUAUGUAUAGUCAAAUUUAAAAUGCUUUAACAUUAAUACUAUGCUAGAAGCCUAGAAUUGCAUUCUUAGGCUGUCUCCAACAACCACUGCCCAAACACAACACGCAUUCUCUGAUAUAGGUCGAGUACAGUGUAUAGGUUUCCCACCCAAAUCGCUCCUUCUCCAACAGAGUGCGCCCCAAAUCCUGCCGCCUACUCCCAUAGAUGGUUCACCUCUUCCACGCCGCCUGCUCCGCGGGCCGGUUGCCCCUCGCCGCGCUGGCCACGCCCCACCGCGGCCGCUCCUCGUCUUCUCCAUCUCCUUCGCAGGGGACAAGCGGGUGUAGGGCGCCGCCGCCAACCCCGCCGUAGAAGACGCCGCCGUCGGUGCUCCCACAGUCCACGCGGGCCCUGCCAUCUCCUCGCCUCUUCCUGCGGAAGCCCGAGCUAGGAGGUCGCCGGCUGCUUCAUCUUCUACAGCCGGAGAAGAUGGUGAGCGGCUCCGCCAUCGACGCUGCCGCCGUGGACAUGGCCCCACCAUCUCCUUGCCCUCGUAGAUGACUUAUGCGCGCUGGCUUCUCCUCCCUUUGCACCUCGCCAUGGGCCACUAUGCGCCACGGAUUAGAUUCUUUGCGAGCACGCGACGCUUCUUUGCGUUUCCAUUCGGCCGUUACCCAAAAUAGGUCAUGCGUUUGAGUCUUCCAUUGGAGGCUGAUUUUGGUAUGCAAAGUAUUGUGCAGGACCUAUUUUUGCAUUUGGGUCUUAUACAGUCUUAGAACAUAGUCAAUUGGAAAAUAAACUUGUUUUACCAUGUGUAACCAUAUCUUAUAUUUGAAAUUUCAUGUUGACAAAUAAAUAUUUAAUAGAAAAUUGCUCCCGUGCUUUUGUCAUAGACUCGUAGUUGACCGUACGAGAUCGGAAGGGACGAAACAAUCAGCUAUCGUCCGGAUUUUAUCCCCUACCUUUCAGGCUUGUAAACAACGCUGGCAAGUUUUAUCCAUAUUAUGAAGUUAUAUUUAUUAUAUUUGUUCAUUAAAACCAAUAAACUAAAUCGCUACUACCUCUCUUAUGUCCUGUAAUAUACUGUAUUUUAAAAAUUUUAAGACAAAUUUUUAAAAAAAUUAAGAGAAAACUUAAAAGUGUAACACCCCAAAAUUUGGUCCUUUCAAAAUAGAGCUAAAAUAAUUUAAUUUGGUAUUUUUGAGCUCAUGAAAAUAUAGGAAAAAUAAUAUUUUUUAGUAAAUUAAAAUUUAUCAUAAGGCAUAGUAAUAUUAUUAUGCAUACAUGUUGGUGCAUAAGAUUUGAUGUAAUGUUUGCUUAUUGCUUCUUUGUGUGUUGACAGUGAGUGGAGUGUUUAAAAUACGUUAGUAGGUCGAUCUCCCUUCUUCGGCACGGAUUUAUCUUUUUUUCUACAAUCAAAUUCCUUGUUUUCUAGCCUAUGCUUUUGUUUCGAGUUUCCCAAAAUCUUUUCUUUGUAACCCAAAUCAUUCCUUUCAGUUCCUCAACCAUCAAUCAAUCUCUAAAAACUGACCAAGAAUUAUUCUAACACUUUUUAAGGAACUUGUUCCCACUUGACUAUGAGCAUAAUCUAAUUUUUAGAUGCUCCGAAUUAUCUUAUCAUGAGCUCCAAAUACUUUAUUUGGGUUCCUCAUGUUUCAUAAUAUCUCCAAGAAUUUUUCCUGAAUUUUCAGAGCUUUUGAAAUAUUUUUCAUGAAUUAAAUAAUAAUUCUGGACUUUUCUAGAAAUAUCUUAUUCACAAAAAUAAUUAAUUUCGGAAAUAAUAAAUCUUUCAUUCUACCCCAACGCUGAGCCCAUGAUCUCAAAGGCCAAGGUAUUUAUUUACUAGUGGGCUUUAAUAAUUAAUUAGGCCUAUUAGUAAAGGUGGAAGGGGCAACAUCAAUUAGUACCAUAUUGCUAAUUGAUGUAGUUGUGGAGAGUUUUCCUCCAUAUAUAUAUAUAUAUAUAUAUAUAUGUACCAACCCCUUAGGUUAAGUACAUCAAAACUACGAGGAGCCCCUAGUUUGGGAAUUCCUAAGGUAGAUCAACAAGAAAGCCGACACCAUGCCCGAUCGCCCUCAGUCCUUGGUCCAAGGUCAAGCCGCCCUCGGCUGCUGUGUCACACCCGGUUUUAAGGAACAAAACCAGACUAGCUGUAUGUGUGUCCAGGAAGUCCACACAUACAACAACAGAAAGGAAUAGUAUCAAAAACAAUGUUGUAUAGCGGAAACAUACAUAUAAUAGACAUUUACAUCAGAGUAUCGCGGAAUGAUAACUAAUCUUUAGGCUCAAUCUUUACAGGGACGGCUGACUGGGGGUAACAUAUGCCUAACACUUCUUGUAUCCUAAUAACAUCCUUCGUGACUCCAUCACCCUUCUGAUCAACUCUUUCUAGUAGACUGGAGUGGUGAGAAAUAGCAAGAGUGAGCACAUAUCGUACUCAACAAGUAUAACCAGAGGUUCAUGAGGCUCAAAUAGCUGACACUGGUUUGACUGCAUUUAGCUUUUAAUAGUGGAUAGCAUGUUCUUAAUUAAAUAGCAAUUGUCAAGGUAGCAUAAGUAAUCCAUUAAUCCCAUGAUCAAGUGUAAGCAUAAUUAAUUCAUAGCAUAAACGAUAGUCAAAUAAACAUAACAACUUAAUAAGCUCAUCGUCGGCGCAGCAAGAACCCCCAAGGCCGCUCAUAACCGUGAGCAUGGCUAGUAUACCAGUUUUACACUCUGCAGAGGUUGUACAUCUUUACCCAUGAGUCAUGAUUUACCCUUUCGCCCGAGGUAGCUAAUCUCUUAACCCCCUUCCUAGGGAGGUCGGCAGGGAUCACUAUGAAGCCUUUCAAAAGUUCGUCUAACAUGUUAGGGCCGCAAGGUUUCCUUUGCGAGCAGAUAUAGAUACCCCCCUUCCGAAUGGCACAAUGACGCGCAGCCUAUACACAUAGGGACAGGGGCUCGCACUAUACCCGUGUCGGUUCAGCCCCUCCGCCCUUUCGGGUAACCUCUAACAAGCUAAAAAAGGUCUUCAUACUGAGCUAAAGCCAGAGCCAUUAUAGCCCUCAUGGUUGCACUGUUGUCCCGGUGAUCACUUACAGACAAGAUCUCAUAUAGUUAUUUGUCAUCAUUUAACGUUCAUUGCAUAGCUAUUAAUCAUCUUACAAGAUCAUAGAUUAUAUCAAGCACUAGCACAUCUACACCAAAUGCAUAUCAAGUAGGUAGCAAGGAAUACAGGUAACAAUCAUCUAUGAUUUUGCUAAGGUCGACAAGAUGAUAGCAUGCAUAUGAUAUAUAUGUGUAGUUAUAAGUGAAUAGGUAACAAGGAUGAUCCCAAGUUAUACUUGCCUUAAACACUUGCUUAAUUCUCACACCAUUAGCUUUUGGUCAUCAUCUUCUGAUCUUCAGCGCCCACAAACGGUUCUCGUCUACUCGUAGCAAGCACCACACAUAGGCAAACAUACAAGCAACAAACAGAAAUAACUAAGAACAGUACACCACACAAGAUCACGCAAUGUACUAAAGGAGAACAAAUUACUACAGGCACAAGAUGACAAAAAAACGCCGAUAACAGAACUACGCUUAAAACAAACGACUAUGAGAAAAUUCACAUCAUAACAGUAAAGACUAUAUGCUUGCUUUAUUAUAAUUACAAAACCAUAUGAAGUAUAUUAAUUCAGAUUAGUCACUAUGCAUUUCAAUUGAAAGACCAAGUUUUGAAUCUAGUAAUUUUAAUUAUAGAUAUUUUAAUGCCUUUUUAUAUACCAAUCAAUUAUACUUUAAUUUGCAAAAACAAAGUAAUAUUUGAGAGCAUAUAAUUAAUGGAAUUUUAUCUGAUGCAUUGUUAAACUAAGCAAGUUAUAAAUUAAAAAUAUAUUUCUAUAUUGUUUUAAUUUAGAAAGCAGUGUGAACAGAGAGUAGUCAAAAUUAAUAAAUAAAUUAAAAAUUUUAGAAAACAUGAAAUACGUUCAGAUGCGACAUAGAAAUAAUAGAUUAAGAUGGGACUAAAGCGAUUCAGAUAUGAUAGGAAUAACAUAAUUGAGCAUAUAUAACUACGGAGACUCAAUGGUUGCCUGAACAAGUAUACACAAAAUGUAUUUUUUUUCUUGAUUGAGGAAUAGAUAGAUAAUGCUAAUUUAUUAUGCAUGAAUGACAUACUCAUGACAUCAGCAUAAGGGUUAAUCAAUAAAAUAAUAUGGCAAGGGACUAAUCUGGCCGCUAACCUUCAGUUAAUCAGGAUGCACAUUUGCAUGCUGCACGAUAUAGCUUUCCUGGAGUAGCAAGGAUUGGGCAAUCGUACGUCAUGCAGUUGCAGCAGCUGAGAUGACUUUGUGCUUGGUAAAAGCGUGAAAUAACAGCAUGUCUAGCUUCAUGGUUGGAUUGCAUGCAGUUACUAGAUGACAACUGCCCGUACAGAGAAGCACAAAUUCAUGGAGGUGCUCACCGAACAUAGAACGAUGAUGGAGAUGGCAGCCAGCUUGGACAUCCCACAUACGUGGUGCUCCAUGGACUUGAGAGCGGAGAUCAUGCAGAGCAUCUAGGCAUGGCUGAUGGCUACGGGCAGUCUUCACUUAGAUCAAUUAGCUCCCAUGGUGAACAGAUGACAAUGAGCCAUGGAUCGAGAUCAACUCUGUACCUGCUUGGCAAAACUUCCCGGCGGCGCGGCAAGAUGGAGGUGCGGCGCAUGAUGAGAGUUAGGGCAUAGGAUGGAUGAGAAAUUAACCAAAUAGGACAUAAAGAUAUGUAUAUGUACUGUUUGUGUGGGUUUAUUAUGGCCGAGAUAUACGUGUUAACGUUUCUUCACGUACGAGUCCUGAGUUGACGUGGUGGUCGAGUCCAUCUUCAACACGUACGACAGUAGUGGUGGUUGUCCACGCGACUUCAUAUGGUAGUAUAUAUACUCCGUAUAUAUAUUUCUCAUGCUUGGGAUAAGAAUUAAGAAAAAAAAUGGGCAUGCAGCAAAGCAGGGACACGAUAGAGGGAGCGUACAAGAUAGGAGAAGGAAACAAAAAUAAAGAAACUUGCAUCUGAGUAGAAAGCUAAUUGAACCAGUUAUUUGCUUCCUGAAACAUCACGUCAAAACUUAGAUCCAAUGAAACAAGAAAACAAUAGAUAGGGCAAGUAUUAAUGGGAGAGAGAGGGUAGUACGGGCCUUCUUCUAUCCAAUAAUAAAAGAGUAAAAAAAAUGUUUGGCCAAAAGUGAUUUAGGGUCAAGAUUAAUUCGGAACAAUUUGAAAAUUAACAUUUUUCUACAACUAAAUUUGCACUAACUCAAACUAAACUUAGUAAAUUUUAUACAAAUAUCGAAAUAUUUAUUUUUGUUAAUAUUUUCUAUGCACAGCCCAAAAUCAAAAUUUUUAGGGUGUGACAUGCUCUCCACCAGCCGAAACUCUAAUUGGCCAAAGUCAAGUUCACGUACAACACAAGGAAGAAGGUGCAUGUUCUGCAGCUCAUCUAUUCAUUCAAUUAUUCCAAAAAUCCAUACCAUCUUAAUCGUGUAUCAUUUAGUUAUUCUAAGUCUAAUUUAAUCCAUUCAACCAUGUUAGAAUUUUGUAGAUUUAAUCUACGUACUAGUACCUGUAUCUUCACGUGUUGCGCUAUAUUUAUAAAUCUUAUUAAUUUAAAUGCUAGAUUGAUUAAUGUUUAUGUACAAUUACUUUUCUAAUUUAGAAGCGAACAUACUAAAUAUUUCUGAAUUUUAUAAUCUAAAAUAUACUAAACGUUGAUGUUUGUGUGCAACUGGUUUUCUAAUUUAAAAUCCCUAUAGAUUUUAUAUUUUGGUGUUUUAUAUAUAAAUAUUAAUAUGGUAAGUUACUAACAUAAUCUUAUUUCUAAAUAAUAAAUUGCUUAGCUCAAACAUGUUUCAUAUAUGAAAUUCUAAUUAGACUAAAUACUCUCACAUAUUUAUUUCUUUUGCAAUUUGCAAAGAUAAAGCUUAAUAAUUUAUUUAGUAAAUUAGGUGAUAACAUUUAUAAAAAAAUAUAUGAUUAGCAUCAACUCAGAUUUCAAGUUUAAAUAUGAUUUAUUUUGAGUUAAUGUUACUCACAUUGUUUUUCUUAAUUAAUAUAAAUCAAGCUUAUAGUUGUUUGAUUUACGGUAUAAAUUAUUUUGGCAAUUGUUCCUUUUACAUCGUAGCUUCGACCUCGAUGGUUCUUGCGUUUUUGUGACCGUGAUCAAAUUAGAGUGCUUUUCACGUCUUUGUGUCCGUAGCGAUAGAUUAGUUUUUAAACCUUUUUAUUGUUUGGUGUACUGUACUAAUUAUAGCUUUGUUUGCUUCAUGUAUGUUUGGCUCCUGUUUGCUUGUGUGUUGCUAUUCGAUGAUCGAGUUUAGACGGUGAGCAAUUCGUAAUGAACAAGAGUGCUUUAGUGAUCAAGAUCAGAGCCUUGACAACUAGUAAGACCAACAGGAUCAACAAGAGCAUUUGGAUUAAGGCAAGUAUAGCAUUUGGAUUUUAUUUCUGUGACCAUGAUCGUAUGACUAGAUUAAUGUUAAGUAAUAAACAAUAAAAAUGACUGUUUAGCAACUUAAGGAUUUAUCUGUACGUGAUCACCCGGGACAACAGUGCAACCAUGAGGGCUAUAAUGGCUCUGGCUUUAGCUCAGUAUGAAGACCUUUUCUAGCUUGUUAGCGGUUACCCGAAAGGGCGCUAGAGGGGCUGAACCGACACGGGUAUAGUGCGAGCCCCUGUCCCUAUGUGUAUAGGCUGCGCGUCAUUGUGCCAUUCGGAAGGGGGUAUCUAUAUCUGCUCGCGGUGGAAACCUCGCGGCCCUAACAUGUUAGACUAACUUUUGAAAGGCUUCAUAGUGAUCCCUGCCGACCUUCCUUGGUAGUGCGUUAAGAGGCUGAUCACCUCGGGCGAAAGGGUAAAUCAUGACUCAUGGGUAAAGAUGUACAACCUCUGUAGAGUGUUAAAACUAGUAUACUAGCCGAGCUCACGGUCAGGAGCGACCUUGGGGACAUCUACAUUAAGGGUGAUGAAUCUUGUGUGUUAAAUAUGCUCAUUGUUUAUUGUUUAAUGCUCAACAUUAUUUAUGUCGCAUUGAUCAUGAGAUUGUGGGAGCUAUACAAUCUAGUUGCUAUACUUGUGGAGUUCGACAUGGACUCACUCUUGCUAUUUCCCCACACCCCUCAGGAGAAGUUUUGGGCUUGUGAUCAACCAGUCAGUUGGAUCCUGUAGAGAGAAGUUAAUACCCGAAGUUUGGAGUUGUCUAUCCGCUGUUUGCUAUCACAGGUUAUAUCUUUUAUACUAAGUACGUUAUAUAUUUAUGCAUUGUCUUUUGAUAUUACCCUUAUUUGUAACUAUAUGUGAGACUUGGCUUCUAAAACUCACAUAUAGUGCAUAUCUGAUUUUGUCCUUAAAAUCGGGUAUUACAAAAAGACACAUAUCUAUUUUAUUUUCUAAUCAGACGAUAUCAACAACUUGAUUAAUGAUGAUUGAUUAAUAAAUAAAAGUACUUAAUGUAAAAAUUUGUUUUUCCCCAUAGAAUAUAUUGUGUUUAUUUAAAGAUAAAUUUUGAACACUGAAAUGAACUAUACUAGGUGAAUUCCCCGCGCGUUGCUGCGGGAUUUUUUUAAAAAUAAAUUAUUAUAUACAUAACAUUACUAUAUGGUAUUUAGUCUAUUAUGUAUGUAUACAUAUGAAUUGGACUUGCAUGUAUUUUAUUGUAUUAGAUUAGUAAAAAAUUGCUAAGCUAAUAAAACAAAAACUAAUAUUUGAUUACAUUAUAGAGGAAUUAAUUGGUGAUAAAACAAAUAAUGUAUGUACAUGACUUGUAUGUGAAUAUAUUAAAGAUUUAAAGUAUUUCACAUAAUAUAGAUGGCAUGGUUAUUUUUUUAUAAUUAAUAUGGAAUGACAUGGACUUAGUGGGGAAUGAUGUGGACAUCUUGCAUGAAGAGAUAAAAUAUUUAGUGGGUCACUUAGUGGGAAAUGAUGUGGCCACCUUGCAUGAAGGGAGAAUUCAUCUAAUGGGGUUUAGCUUUAUAAGAGUUAUAGAUUACAUGAUGGAGGGAGUAUUUACUACCCAACCAAAGAUCCCUCUACCGUUGUGUUUGAUAUUCCCGCGCACUACAAGUUAUCAUUGGUAUCCAAAGAUGGAGGAGACGAUAAUCUAUUUUGUCCGUACACACGCGUCAGCCUUUUGACCAAGAUAUUAUUUCUGUAUUUUUAUUUGUAUAUACGAUUAUAAGACAGCGAUAGGCAACGGAAUGAGACAUCGAAGGAACGGAAUAUAGACGAAGAUGUACUAUUAUGUAUACUAUACCUUCACACUAAAUUAGCUGAUAAUAUAAAUUCUGUAGGAGUAUAUACGCUGAUAAGUACACAGCCAAACAGACGAAGUUGACACGUCCAUGGUUGAUGACACCUUCGCACUAACGAACGACCACAUACGAACAAAUUAAUGAAUUGACUUUGAAAGAAGUAAAAGAAGCCAAAACAAUUUAUUUUUGUCGAACCAAGAAAUUUGGUCUUUGUUCCAAAUUUCAUCAAAAACUUGUUCGUUCUAGCAAACUCAAGUUAUAUCGUGCUAUAUCCUGUAAUAUAGUGAAUUUUAAAAAUUUUAAAACAUUUUUUCUAAAAAAUAAGAGAAAAUUUAAAAGACACAUGUACGUUUAUUUUAUUUCCUAAUUAGACGGUAUCAUCAACAUGAUUAAUGGUGAUUGAUAGAUAAAUGGGAAGUAUUUAAUGUAACAUUUUGUUUCUUCCAUAGAAUAUAUUGUAUUUAAAGAUAAAUUUUGAAUGCGGAAAUAAAUUAUAUAUACUAGGAGGAUUUUCUGCGCGUUGCCGCGGGUAUGAAGCAGUAAUCUAUAUGUGUGGUGUUAGUAAUGCAGGAACAUGAUAUAAUAUAUGUGUAGAUUUAUUAGUAUAAUCGUGGACAUUAUAUCUAUAGUGGCCGGUGUUUCUAGCUGAUGUUGAUAUCAUAAUUCUUGUAUCAGUGAACUUUAAUUGCAAAUAAUAGUGGAUUGCUGAGGUGGACACCUUGCAUGUCAAGAGAAAUUGCUAGUGACAAAUUAUAAUGGAUUGUUGAGGUGGACGUCUUGCAUGUUAAAAGAAAUAGCUAGUGGGAUUUUACUUUAUAAGAGUUAUAGAAGUGGAUUGAUGAGGUGGACAUCUUACAUGUCAAAAGAAAUUGCUAGUGACAAAUUAUAGUGGAUUGCUGAGGUGGAUGUCUUACAUGUUACGAGAAAUAGUUAGUGGGUUUUUGCUUUAUAAGAAUUACAGAUUACAAAAUGGAGGGAGUAUUUAGUACCCAACCAAAGAUCCCUCCACCGUUGUGUUUGAUAUUCCCGCGCACUACAAGUUAUCAUUGGUAUCCAAAGAUGGAGGAGACGAUAAUCUAUUUUGUCCGUACAUACAUCAGCCUUUGGCCAAGAUAUUAUUUCUGUAUUUUUGUUUGUAUAUAUACGCUUAUAAUGUGGCUCGCGAUUUUGUCGAGUCUACGUUUCUUAAUGACAGGCCAUGAGGCCCAAAGUGAACUCAAAAAGACAGCGAUAGGCAACGGAAUGAGACAUCGAAGGAACGGAAUAUAGAUGAAGAUGUACUAUUAUGUAUACUAGUACACCUUCACACUUAAUUAGCUGAUAACAAAAUUCUGUAGGAGUAUAUACGCUGAUAAGUACAGCCAAACAGACGAAGUUGACACGUCCAUGGUUGAUGACACCUUCGCACUAACGAACGACCACAUACGAACAAAUAAAUUAAUGAAUUGAUUUUGAAAGAAGUAAAAGAAGCCAAAACAAUUUAUUUUUGUCGAACCAAGAAAUUUGGUCUUUAAACUUGUUCGUUCUAGCGAACUCACGUUUCUAUAGCAAUGAUAAAACUUUUGAACUUACACAAUGCAGGGAAAACCUAAAGGCAAAGUGAAAGCAAAAACAGUCCUUAACAUAGUGAAAGGUUGACAUUGGAAGAUUUGAUGCGGGUCCGAAGUUCCAAAGAUUGUAAGUCGAAGUCGGAAAAAAUAACUCGACCUAUGGGGGUAAGACAGCCCCGGGUAUUGUGUUUAAGAAAAAAAAAAUUAAGUCGAGAAAAUCCCUAAACCUCUACCUUACCCAUACACAAUGGUAUCACAGCUCCUAUGACGCUGGCUGAUCUUAGACCUGUACUUUAACAUAGAGCAGACGAGAAGAUUUUGUCAACAUGCAGAUAAACUAACGCCUCCUCCCAUCAACAAAUCCGCCUUCCAAAGAGUUCGAACUGUGGCCGGUAGGAUGCAAAGCGCACCGUCCAAGCAACUGGUCUAGCGUAUAUCAGAAGUAGGUCGUAAAUUCCAAACAAGACUGCUUCAAAUCAACUCUAAAAAAUUUGAAAUUUUGUACAAACCUUGAAUAAACCAUUUAUAAAAGAUAACCCCCAAGAGAUCAAUACUACCACGUAAAGCAUUUUGCAUGCGGCCACAUUUGUUUUCCACAUACGCCCAGCAAAGUCUGCCUCCAAGUCUAAGCAUCAAUGAUUCUGAUUUUUUUUUUUUUUUGAAGAUGCUUGUCUGUGAAAAUAGGUUUAGAAAAUAAAAAAAGGGCCUAGGCCCGGCGUCGAACUCGCUUCCGGAAGCGUCGCCACCGCUGCCCAUCCACUCUAAACACGCGGCUGUCGUCACCGAGGCCGCUCGCAGCCAGGUAGCCACCCCACUGUCGCCGGAUCUUGCUGUGGAUCCCUCCACCGCCGGAUCAAGCCAUGGAUCUCUCCAUUGUGCCGCCGUGAGGCCGUGUCACUGCGCACUCCUGCGUUGCGCCACGCCGUUGCGAGGCUCCUGGGUGCCAAUCUAGAUAACCCGGGUUGUCAUCCACUCGAUCGACCUGUCUUAAUAUAAACCAAAUACUGAGGACCCACAGGAAAGUAUCAUCUGCACCUCGUCUUAAAGACCUUUUACAGUUGAGUUACACCAACGAGCCAAUCAUCAAGCGACUUACAACACAAUCUUAUAGUGAACAAAAAAAUUUCAAACUAAAACAUCAUUGACCAUAAAAGAAAUUAACCUGCAAGAAGACAUCGGACGAGUUGGAGAUGAGCUCACUUGAUUGGAUUGGGAGAGCGUGUGAGAGUGAUUAGAGAUAGAGAGCUUUGAUGAGUGAUCCAACUGUGGAUUAGUAUCAUACUAGUUUUUAUCUAGACAUGUGAGGGUGUUAGGUCCUAGGGUUAAGGUUAAACAUUUUAAACUUCAAAAUAUUCAUCAGAUGCUCCAUCAAUUAUGAUGGACUCUCCUUCAAAAAUAUUCCCAAAGCUAGCAAGUUUGGGUUCGGCUAUAAGAGAAUUGAUGGAUGAUCCGAUAAACUUGUCGGACGAUCCAAAAAAAUGGACGAUAUGUGGUUCUAGGAACAUGCCACAGAACGAUCGGUGGGUGAGCUGUGUUUCACAGACACUCCGCGGAAUCGACAUUUGCUCCAUGGUGAACUAGGUGCUACCGAGUUCUCUGGAAACCAAUUUUAGUUAUUGACGCGCAGUCCAUGGAUCCUCAUGAAUGUUCCAUGAACAGUGAAGACUAAGUGUUUGGCUGUGAUUUCUGGCCAAGCGUUGUGGUUGACGUAUGAUCUGUAAGAUGUGAUGGAUGCUUCAUUAGUGCAUUCACACAAGUUAUGUGUUUUAUCAUUCAUGGUGUUUAUGUGUGAUUUAAGUCUAGAUCAUUGGUGAUGUUCAUCAUGUAUGUGCAAGGGGUUAGGGUUGUUUAGGUGACAUGUUGGGCUACUGAUUGCUAGGGUUGAGCUCUAGUUACCAUGUGCAUCAUAGUGAUCUGUGGAUCAAAUUAAUCAUGAGAAAAGAGAAAUUAAAUCAUGAGAAUGGGCAUGGCAAUAUAUCUUUAAGAAUUUGAUGACCUCUAGGCCACCAAGAUCAGAUAUGGGGUCUUGCUCAACCUUGCUUCCAAGAAAAAGAGAUGGAUUGGGGAAUUCAUGAGAUUUCUUGCAAAAAUCCACAAAAUUGCAUUGGGGAGAAACUUGAGAGAUCCCUGAGAGGAUUGAGCUAGAGAUGAUCUUAGCUUACACUUGAGAUGAUGGAGCAACUUCCAAACUUCACAUAUUGCAUCCAUGCAUGAAAAAAAUCAUGCAUGGAUGUAAUGUGAAGUUUGGAAGUUGCUCCAUCAUCUCAAGUGUAAGCUAAGAUCAUCUCGAGAGAGGAUUUCAAGAAAAAUGAGAGAAAGGCUUUUGAUUUCACCAUAGAUUGAGGUUGAGAUGGAGAAGCUGAUGAGAUUUGUGAUCAAUGCUGACCUUUGCUUCUUAUCCUUCCUUUAUUUCCCUUCUCUUCAUCUUUCUCACUUUCUCUCUCUAGUUCUUGCCUUGUUCUUCAUGUGUUGAGAGAGGGGGAUAGGGAAUGGGUAAGAGAGUAAGCGGGAUGGGGCAUGUUUGCUGAAGGCCUUUCCCAACUCGUGCUGACAAGUGGGUCCACUUGUGAGAGAAUGGAGGACAGCUCAUUCCCAACUUGAUUCUACUAAAGUCAAGUUUUGAUGAAUGAUCUGUCUAUUCAGAUAGGCACUCUGUCAAUAUGCUAAUUAUGAGAAAUUGAUUUAGAGAAAUGGUUCUUAGAAUUUAGAAUUAGGGCCAUUCUUCUUGUCCUAGGUGUUGAUAACCACUUAGGGAGAGACUAGAUAAGUCAACUAUACCCUUCCUCCACUAUCUUCUUGAAGUUGACCGUUAGUUGGUCAUCGAUGACUCUAGGUUGACUCUGGCUUAAGAGGAUCGAUAAGGUUGGUUAGCAAAUUUGGAGUCCUUAUCCUAGUUAAGAGCACUAGGAAUCCUUCAAGAGAAUAGCAAGUUGAUUCUUGGAAGUUUGAGGGCUUAUGCAAGGUGAUCAAAGAGGUUCUUAAGAAGGGUUUUAGUUGGAAUGACUUCUGGUCAUGACAAUUGCUGCCUUCAAUUCGCUCAAGAUCCAUGGUGGAAAAGAUUUCCAAACCCUAAGUCAUUUUGGGCCUGGUGGAGGCACGUCGUGAGAGAUGAGAGCGGGGAGGAGUUCCAAACCCUAACUCUAUCUUAUAUAUGUCACAAUCAUAUUGAGCUCGAUGGCUCCGAGCAUGUUUCUAGAGGUGGGCCGCCCACCUUUGUAAACGAAUUACAGAGAUAGAUGUUUUUGGACUGCCUCCUUAAGUAGAGCUACCACCACCGAAAAUUAGGAUCUUUUUGGGAGGCACUAAGAAUUUCUAACCACCUCCAUUAAUAAAAUCCCUUAUCUCCUAAAAUAUUUUAUGUAGUAGUGCAAGUCUAAAAGAUAAAAGCUUGAACAGAAAAUUCAAAAUCCUUAGUCUCAAAUUGGAGUUUUGUCAAUUUUCCUCCAAAUGGGGAUUUCUAUGUGCUCGUGGGAAAUCUGCCUAAGGCAGCUAUGUUUAUUCGUGAGCCCCUAUAGCACCUAAAGAUCAUUCAACGAUGUCCCAAAUACCUGAGCACAAAUAACUUCGAGAAAAUAACCUCAAGAAAUGGUAUUUUUAGAAGCAAAUUAGCUCGCCAACUGCCUCUAAGAGCAACUCCAACACUACCCUAAACUUCACUUGGCAAAUCUUGGAUUUUGCCAAGUGUAAAGCUCAAAUGCCAAGUGAAAAAAAGAGGCUUCUCCAACAGUUAGCUAUUUUUUUGGCAAAUUUGGACUAUCUUGUGAUUCCUGAAAAAAUCAGAGGGACUUUUAUGCAAAAGUUGCAAUCUAUUUAAGGCAUGCGUGCAUGCUGAAUGUGUGGGUCCCACCGCGUAGGCAGGAUGCCAAGCGCUCCCAACGCUCCUAAAUUUGAGCCAGUUGGCCCUCUUUUUGCCAAGCAUCCUAUUUUGUCAAGUGCAUAUAGGGUAGUGUUGGAGGAGCUUUUUCCAUGUUUUGCCAAAAAUUAGGAUUUGCCAAGUGCAUAUAGGGUAGAGUUGGAGUUGCUCUAAUAAAAUAGCAUACAUUUCUAGAGGCGGCUGGAGUUGUCUCUAAAAAAUUGAUUUUUAGAGACGAGUUGACUCAAAAACAAUUUUUAAAGACAGAUUUUUAUAAAGUAGCCUCUACCCAAAAAUUGAGACGUCUCUAAAAAUGGACUAUGACUGUAGACCUGUAGCUGGAGCAGGCUUGGUAUUUGUAGUUUAGAAGUUGCAGCGGCAGCGAGAGUUGGUGUGGCUUGUACCAUACUCCUAUUAAGUAAAGGAAAAUUGAUAGUAGUAUACAGCCUAAUGAGACAUAGACCAAUCUAUUUCAUUUUUGUACUCAUUAGAUAAUCGUUUAAUCAUUUCGCAAAAAGAAAAAAAUGGAUAGACACACUUAAUAAUACACAGAGUGAUGAAACAAUAUAACAUAAGCACAGGAUAAAAUAUGAGUACAUUUAUUGUCCUUAGCACAGACUGAUACACUAUAAUUAUAAUCACUCUCUCCGGUACAAAUUAAGCAGCAACAGGGACACAGUUCACAUCACAAAUCAUCUGAUUAAUUUGGUAUAAGAUUAUUGUAAGGUUUGGCCAUGAUCCAAAGCAUGGACUUCUUUCUUAACGUUAUCCCAAAGAUCUCUGCCAUAUCAAAUUCUUCCAACUUGACGCCAUCAGGUAGAGUCCAAUCAAAAUGGUAAAGAAGGCUAACAAGAGCCAGCUCUAGAUUGGCCAAACCAAGCGUUAUGCCAGGGCAUAUUCUCCUACCUGACCCAAAGGGAGUGAACUCGAAGUCAUUACCUCUAAAAUCGACACUACUAUUUUCAAAUCUUUCUGGCCUAAAUUCCUCUGCAUCAUGCCACAAUUUUUUGUCCCUUGCUAUUGCCCAAGCAUUCACGAACACCUUGGUUCCCUUUGGAACAUCGUAACCCAUAACCUGACAUGAUUCACGACCUUCUCGAGGGAGCAACAGUGGUACUGGAGCAUGCAACCGUAAAGUCUCCUUGAUCACCAGCUGUAGGUAUCUCAAUUUGAUCAAAUCACCUUCAGUUAUCUUGUCUUGUCCUUUGAAGGCCUCCCUCACCUCUGAUUGGGCCUUAUGCAUGACUUGUGGAUUCCUAACAAGCUCUGACAUUGCCCAUACUAGAACAGUUGAUGAUGUUUCACUCCCAGCAGAGAAAAUAUCCUACAAUACAAUGUUAUAGUUACAAUUUGUAAAAGGGGACAUUCACAUUUUAAUUCUCAUGAGAAUGUAAUCAGUAAACAUAAGAAUGUAAAAAAAGAAUGUAGGUCAUAAAUUAUAUUCUUGUUCACAUUUUUAUUGAGUGCCAAUCGUGCAGAAUUAAUUAAAUUCUUUUUUAUCAUUUUAGUAAAUAAGAAUUCAAUUUAUAACCUAAAUUCUUAUUUUAUAAAAUACAAAAGAGUUCUAACUAAAAUGAAAUAAGUACAUAUAAGAUUUUCAACUUAACUUGAGGAUUAAGAAACUACAUCAACUAACAAAAUCAAAAUUUAAAAUCAAGAUCAAAUAUGUCAGGUGACAUGGCUAGCAAUAAGAGAUACCAUAACUUAAGCUAUGGUUUUAACUAAAUGUGUAUUGAAGACAAAUGGACGUGCCACGCACAGAGAAAGAGAAAUUAUAAAUAUGGAUAAAAAAUAUAAGGAAUAAUUGAUAAGUUGAUCUCACCGGUAAAGAAAGAAAUAUCUAUAUUGUGUCAAAAAAAAGAAUAAAAAUAAUAGCACAAGGAUAAUUAAUUUGUUUAGUUGUAGGUACUAAACAUGGACUACGAUACCAAAACUUAUUUAGUGUAAUAAAAUUCCAUUUGCCUAAUGCUAAACUAGAAAUAAAUUAGAGACCAUUAAUAAUGGAGAGGUUUUGUAGGAGUGUGGUGUUAGAUAACUAGAAGAUAUCUCGCGCAUUGCUACGAGAAUCGCAAAGAACUUGCUUGGAAUGAAAUUAAAAGAAGAUAAUGUGAAUAGCUUGCAACUAAGGGUCCAUUUGGUAGGAUUUCUCCACCGGCUUCAGUUUGUUUGAAGCCAUUUUCUGCCACACGGUAUAAAAUAAAACGGCUUUGCUAGUGAAACUCCUUAAAACCAGCUUUAUAAGAGCGGAUCUCACCCAAAUAACCGUGCUGACAAUCUCGUUGGUGAGAGCGAACUGCAGGCCACCAUCCCUCUGCAGCCUCAGGAGAACACCCAGAAGGUCCUCCUCGUCUCGCUCUGGCGCCGUCGCCAUGGCUUCAGCUUCACGCUCAUGAAUGAUGCUCCGGAUGAUCCGGUACAUGUUCCUCUGGCACCUCCUCGCGUCCCUCGCGGCGGCGCUGAACCGGCGUACCAGCUGCGAGGACGGGUACAGGUCCGCCAGGUUGAACCCACCAAACAGCCGCACCACUUCGUCUAGCUCAUGCAUGUACUCAUCCCGGUACUUGCACCGGUCGCCGACGACCGUGCGCGCGGCGACGUCGUUUACCAUGCGGCAGAUCCCGUCGCUGAGGUUGACGGGCCGCUGGCCGUCGGCAGACUCCCUGGAGACGGAGCGGAGGAGGUUCGCCACCUCCUCUUCCCGGAUGUUCCGGAACGUGAGCACGCGGCGCUGGCUGAAGAGCUCCACCAUACACAGCUUCCGGAGCUCCCGCCAGUGGGCGUUGUAGGCGGAGAAGAUGAUGUCCUUGCCGCCGCAGCUAAUGAUCUCCAUGGUGACGCUCAGGUUGCGGUCGCAGAAGGUGAGGUCGUGCGUCCUCAUCACCUCCCUGGCGGCCUCGGCGGAGGAGACCACCAGCGUGGGCACGGCGCCGAAGCGGAGCAUCAUGAGGGGCCCGUAGGUUCCGGACAUCUCGCGCAGCGCCCGGUGAGGCAGGUCGCUGAAGCGCGACAGGAGGAGGUGGUGCAGGCUGCCGAUGAGCGGCAGCUGCCAUGGCCCUGGUGGCAGGCGAAGCGCUGGUGAUGGCUUCGUGCGUGAGGACGUGACGUAGCUCCGGAUGAGCCUGAGGAGGAGGAGGGCGAGGAGGACGACGAAGGCUAGAAACUGGAUUCUCAUCAUGUCCAUAUUUUUGCCGGGGAUGGGACAAGUUUGCAGCCAACUGCGUCUCGACAACAUCGAUGACACGUAUUUAUACUAGGGGCUUGCUACCUGAAUUCUAGUUAUAUAUAUUUAUAAUACUAAUAAAAGUGUCCUUGCAACAAGUAAAAAGGUAUAAUGUUAUCCAUAGUUUUUUAUCUUGAAAAUAAUAAUUUUUCAUUUACAUCAUUAUAUUUUUAUUGCACUCAACAUGAUGCUAAAAAAGCAUAUCAUCACACUAUAAAAAAACAAGUUUUUAGGGUUUCUUCCUCUAUAAUAACCGUUCGAUUUGUACGCCGUGCUAUAUGAGUCCUACGUCAUGUAUGAUCUUACUUUUUUGUAUAACAACCGUUCGAUCUAGAUGUCAUGCUAUAUGAGCCCUCCAUCAUCUAUGAUCUUACAUGUAAGAUUUAAGACCCAUAUUCAAUCUCACAGUAAUGCUACCCAUCAUAAGUCAUAUCCUUCUCUCUUGUGUACUGUCGACUCCCUGAUUUUGACUCGACAUAUUUUUCUUCUAUUUAGUAAUCAAUUGCUUCUUCAUCGUGUAACUUUUGCUAAAGUCGAGACCAAUAGCACACAAUUAAUCAAUAGGAGUACAAACCAAUAACGGUAAAAUUAUUAAGAUAGAAUCAUACUCAUGUAUUCUAACGGAAAAAAUAAUAACUUGAUAGUCACUUGCCCUCCAUAUACAAUGGUCAUUUGCACCGACACGGAAGCUAGCAUUGCUUGAUUUGGCUAGUGUUGAUAUACGAGGCGGACACACAUGGCUACCUUUGCGUGCAUCUUCUUGGCUUCGACAUACUGGUCGUGUGUUUUUUUCUUUUGCUAUUUUCUAGCUAUUUAACAAUUAGUUGUUACUAUCAGCGUAAUUUGUGUAAUUUUUUAUUUGUUUUUCUGAAUUUUAUAUAUUAGUUAUUUAAAAGGAAUGAUUUUAAAUAAAGUUUAUAUUUUAUAAUAAAAGACGUUUCUUCUUUACAUACCGUUUUCAAAUUAUGGCCUGCUUUUUGAUUUUUGGCCUUUUUCUUCUUAUAGCUGUUGCAUGCCCAAUUGCCCAUGGUAAAUCCCAGCGUGUUGCCUGUUGGUUAUGCAAAGUUGUAGGUAGGCUACGCGUUGUCCUUUUCCCAAUUUGAUUUUUUUUACCGUUCGGAGCACGGUUCAGAGGUGUAGAUAGAUAGAGAUAAUUUCCAAACUGAAGAGGGUCGACUUUAAAAACCAUAAUUCGAGUAGAGAUUGGAGUUGAAGGAAAAAUAUUACGGAUCGAAGCCUAUACGGACUGGAUAGGCGAAAAAAAGAUGUCUGCUGGACUGAAAUUUUCAUAAUUAUAUAUUAGAAGAAAGAUUGUAGAUUUCGUUCAUUUUAAUUUUCUAGACAUAAUUUAUAAUUUUCGGUACCGAGAAUAAAAAUUUGUUAGACAAAAUUAUAAAUCUGACAAAUGUAUUUGAUCAAAGUUAAUAUUGUUUGACUCCUGAUAAAUGAGAAUAAGCAUUCUUUUAGGCACGGACAAAGAAAUUUAUCCACAAACAUGCGUGAAGAUGUGCUGUACAUACUAUGUACCCGUACUCCGUGAUGUACAAAACUAGGACCAGCAGAGGCUAAUUGUCUCUAUAGCAGCAGGCUACAAUAAUUUGUCUCCGUGGUCCAAAACGUGGGAAGCCUGUUAAGUGGUUGUUUGGUUCACAUAUUUGUUCACUUGUCUAAGUUGUAUUUUUUCUAACAGCCAACAGUGUUUUUCUUUCAUAAUAAAUCAGCGAAGAAUAUUUUCAACUAUAACUUUUCAGAUCAGCGAACAUGCUAGUCUCAUUUACUUUCAUUUAGUCAUUUUUUAUCUAAACACUAUAACUAAAUGAGGUUAAAUGGACUUUAGUCAUCUCUAGCAAUUCUGGAAUAACUAAAUAAGACUAAACUAUUUAGAAGGGACUAAAGUUUAGCAGCCCGAAAAACACCCGUGAUGUCCAUCCAUCCAUUAUAUAAGUUGUUGCUAGGCAGCUAGGGUCUUAGUAUUUUCGUUUUAUUUUAGUAAUUAGUAUCUAAUUAUGGAAUCUCUAGAUUUAAAAGAUCCAUCUCAUAAUUUAUAGAUAACUUGUACAAUUAGUUUUUUUAUCUAUAUCUAAUGUUGUAUGCAUGUGUCCAAGAUUUGAUGUGAUAGAUGAAAAGUUUUUAGGUGAAACUAAACAAGGCCCAGGUAUAACUAGGGACGGGAUAGAUAUGCAGCCAACUACGUGACGACAAAAUCUCGAGGAGCUGACACAGAUAUAUGGACUAGAUAGAUUUUAAUAAUAUAAUAGUACGUAUCAAUAAUGUAGGAAAUAAUGGUAUACUAUACUAGUUCAUAGGAUUCAACUGAAUAUUUUUGACAACAACGUCGUAUUGUGUUUGAUACUUCCACGCAACUACAGGUUAUUAGUGGCGUCGGUCCACGAAUGUGUACGUGCACGCCGCCUUUCGUUCAAGAUAUACUAUAUGUUAAUUCUGUAUUUGUUUGUAUAUAUAUAUACGCUUAAUUAUAAGACAGCGAUAGGCAACGGAAUAUAUAUAUACACACACGAAGAAAAAUCGCUGGAGUAAAGAUAGAAGCUUGUGUAGAUAUUCUCGCUAUGGAGUAGUAGUUCCAAUCAUAUAUAUAUUGUGCCGCUGUGAGAAGUAGCCAAUCACCAAACAGGAGUGCUCAGCUCACUGAUGGCACGUCGUCUAUCCGUAGAGGCGUAGACGGGUGCAUGAGUGCAAAUGGACAUGCAUGGUUUCGAGGACUUCCCAACACACCCACAGGGCCACAGCCCACAGGUGAUGUUUGUCUCCAUGUUUCCCUCCUAUUUCCGCUGCUAUUAAUUCUCGUUGCUACGUGUUUGUUUCAGCAGCAGCGGAGCCAUUCGCACAAGGGUCGAAUCCGGAUACCGGAAACGUCGUUACCGCCCACUCCAGGCCUUAUCGGUUUAGGGCAUGUACAAUCUAGAUAGGGUCCGUCUCUAAGACCAGUCGCAAUGUAUAGUUUCAUGGUAGUUACCAAGACUAUAAACUAGGUAACCGAGUCAUAUGAGUUUUAUGAGGAUGAAAACUCCUCUCUCAUCUGAUGAGACUGCUUCAUUUAAUGACCCUGUCAAGUCAGCAAUUUUGCUUAUGUGGCACCUUAUUUAAUGUGCAUGAUACUCUCAUGAAACAUGCAUUGAGAUUGACCUAAGUAUCUCGAAUCUAUGAUACAGACAGAUAUAAAGACAGAUUAUACAAUCCAUACUUGGGGGUUCUAAGGCAUUUAAUAAUUUGCAUGUAGCUAAGAUCAACUAUGGAUAUCAACUUGUAUACCACUGUGUGGCCGUUUGAUAGAAGACAAGUUCAAGUAUAAAUAAGAUGAACAUAAUUAUAAUAUUUUAAAACCACUAAUAUAAUAUAUAUUAUAUAUAAAGAUGAACAUAAUUACAUAAGCACACUCAAAGAGGUCAGUCCACCUAAUAAUCUUGUGCCAUGGAUCCUUGCAUUGCUUUAGAUUCCUUUUCCUACGGGGUGGAGCUGUCUUGUUGUAUGAUUGAACAACAUCAGACCAAUAUUGGUUGCCACCUAUAUUAGCUCCACAGGUCGAAACUGUUGAAUGUUCUAUCCAAGAGCUCAUGCAUCAAGCUGACAUCCUCAUUCUUUUUCCAAGGAAUUUGCUUCUCAGUCCUAGCAUUUUCAUCAUCAGUGUCAACUAGUUCAGGCUACUGCUUGUCCACUCUCUCUACUUCUACUGGUAAAAUUUCUUCAUGGUUGUGAACAGGUGCACCAACCUAAAAAUUGUGUGGCUGGUUUCCAAAGUAACUCAUAAACCCACCAGGUGGGCAUGGGUCGUCUUUAUCCCUGCAGGAAACAUAACAUCACUAAAAUGACUCUAUACAACAUUACUUUAAUUUGCACUAUCUGCUUCUCAUUCACACUAACAAAUAUCAAAUAGUUUAUAAGAAACAGAGCAUUAGUUUCAUUCUCAAACAUUUGCAACAAACAUCAUAGACCUUCAAAAGGAUCUAUGACACUACAUGCAGGGAAUAAAAUAUGUCAUUUGUCAACCAUGAUGAUCUGACCAGGAUGAACACACAUGCAGCCCAUAGCCACCCUCCUGCUAUUCUUCCCCAAAUAAGAUGAAACAAAUUGCAAUAUAUACAACUUAGCACAUUCAGCAGCUACCAAAGCUCUGUUCACAUUCAGAUACAGCUAGCAAGUUCACGCAGGUUCACAUUCAGAUAAUAACUAGCAAAGCUCUAUUCACUAACAGAUAAGAUAGAAUUUCACUAACAGAUAGGAGCAAGUCCAGAUCAAUUCACAGGUCAGGUGAUUAACAAGAUGGAUCCCAAGCUGCUGAGCGCACAAACGAAGGAGAAGCUGGAUCAACGUUGGUCGAAUUCCACCAAGCAGUAGAUGGUGAAGUGGGGAAUGGAAACCCACCGAAGACGAUGGAACCGUCGCAGCACUGGGGAAGGCACCUCCACUAGAUGUACCAAUGGAGAUAGGAGGUGUUGCCAUGCUGUUGCUGAGGGAACAGGAGAUGGGGGUACCCCGGUGCCACCACCGCUGAUCCACUUCCGCGACCUAGGGUUCAGCCCAGGGCAUCCGCGCCCAACGAUGAGCCUCCACCACGACUGAGGUUGUAGUUCGACGCCGUCGAGAUGGCUCCGCGACCGAAGGUGUGCACCGGGAACACCGCUAUCGCUGUCGCCGCAGUUGACGCAACAAUGGGGGUGUCCUUGCUCUUCUUGUUUGUGGAAGCUAGUUUGCACUUCCUCGCUGAGGUGCUAAACAUCGCAGCCACCAAAGGUUGGGGUGCCCGAUUGAGAAAGAAAGCUAGAGUGUUGUGGCUGCUUCACCGGUGAAAUAGGGAUGAGGCAGAGACGGAUUUGGCGGGACUGCUCCCUCCCAUGCGCGCCAAAACUUCAUUAGCAUGCACGCGAGUGCCCCAGAUCCGCGCGCCGUCGAGACAAGGGGACGACUCCUACAAUGCUGCUCGGCUGGUCUCCUUUGCAUCGGUGCAUGGGACGGCUCCGUCGCUUCACGAGACGACGGAAUAGUCGUCUUCAGGCCACAACGGCACAACAGAUUUUUUUUGUAAAAGUACCCACGAAAGGACGGGGUGAAGAGUUUUUAUAAAAGUACCCACGAAAGGACGGGGUGAAGAGCCCCGUUGUACAUACCCUUAUUACGCAACUCACGUGAGAAUGGAUAAAGGAUAUCUUAGGUUGGAUCCUAUGAACUAAUAAGUAUAAUUGAAAGUUUAGUCUUUAAAGAUCUAAACAAAUGAACUAGUUAGUGAGCUAACAACUAGCGAAAGCCUCAACUAAUUGUUACUUCACUAGCAUAUAGAGCCCAACUAGUUGGGCUAAUCACUAAUUCUAGUUCAUCCAAACAGCUCCUUAACCAACCAAACAAAUUGUCGUUUUUCAUUUCAGGCAACAGGUAGGGGCGGCACCCAUUUUCAUUUGCAGUACAGCCCCGAACUAAACAGAGAAAGAGAGACACACAUUUGGCGGCCAAAAAAUCUGGGUUUUGAUCUAUCAUUUUGCAUAAUAAAACUAAACAUCAUGCAAAAAUUUUUAGCAAAAAAAAUUAUUCUUCAUUUUGGAUUUUGGUCUCAGGAGGCCAAAAGCCCAAAAGAGUUACAAGAGACCAUAAUAAGAGCAAUAAAUUCUGUAUUCUAGACAAAACUAAAUAUAACCUUAAAAAUGUUAGUAUUUAGUAUUUUAUCAUUUCAAGGUAGUCGGCAUUUUGCAUUUUGCAUUUUAUGGGAAAUUAAACACCCCCUAGCACAACCAAAUCGUCAACUCCCAACACUGCAGGCUUGAUGGAGCAUCAUUACCACGCUUCGGUUGAAGCUAAGAGCUGCAAAGCAUUUGCCAGUGCCAUUACCACCACCAUUUCAUGUUGCAUGGCUUGACCGGUCGUAAGAGUCCCAUGCACGUCGCAACUCGCACAGGCAUUGCUCUUGCUCGCGGUGCCAUGAUUGCGCCUUUCACAAACUCAUAGUUGAUCAAUUGGAGCACUUGCGAUUAUUGAAUCAUUAUUGUACUACCAUUUAGUAUGAGAUUUGAAAUUUACUUAAUUUAAUUGGAUAAAUAACAGGCCAUAUCUAAUUAAUUAAGUCCAAGAGCUAACAAUUCCAGGCUGUAAUUAAUUGUGCGAGAUGAUGUGUUCCUAGUCCACGAUGACCUUGAGAAGGACAUUGAGGAAGACGAAGGCUGCAAACGAGAUCCUAGUUUCCAUAUCUGCCAGGGAUGGGAUUUCGGUGAGCUAGCUUAAAUAUAGAGUAUUAUGGCAUCUAGAAAUUAACAAUAAUACAGCAAUGCUUUACAGCACUCAAGUGUUUUACAGCAAUUCAACACUCAAUUCCUUUCUGUUCUCUUCCUCUCCCUCUCUUCUUCUCUAACUCUGGCAAGCUUAGAUGAGACUGUGGGAGGCAGGUCGGCCAAAUGGUGGAAACGGCAGGAGGACGACGGUUAGAGUUCCAGCGGUGUAGGAGGCGGUCGAACUAGGUCAGGGCGAGGGCAUCUAUGGCCAUACGACGGUGAGGGGAGGAGAAGAAGAAGGUUGUUGUGGGCGUAAUAGGGUCUCAUCGGAGCUCAAGACCCUACUGCACUGAGGCGGGGCAGUGGACGACGGUAGGGCAUCGGGAGGAGGAAGAGGACGAUGAAGAAAAAAUCAAGUGUUCUCGAGAGCCAAAACACUCAAGCGACAGAUGAUAGAUCCUAAUAUAGAAAUGCAACAAUGUAUCCAAAGUAUGGAGGCACUGCUGUGUUUGUUAUUCCCAUCCUAGAGGUAAUCUUUGGUGUCCACAGGGAGAUAUUUAUUUUGUUCGUGCCUCUCGAGCCUCACCAUAUCAAUUCUAAUUAUGUUUCCGUCUAAUGCUCCGUAUAUAUAAUACGCUAAUAAGAUAGUGAAAUAGACGAAACUGAUCGACACAUUAGGUUUUUUUUACAACAAAUAUUUUUCAUUUGAGCAGCAGGACGCUGCAAUCAGUCUAACAGACUGAAGGUUUACAUCUAUCAGAUGCAUCAGGAAUGGGCACUGAUAGGUAAGGCUCUGAUGAGAGCAUACAUGAUGGAAGAAAGAUUCAACAGGAACAAUAACUGAGAAAGCCUGUCUAUCUAAAGCAUAUGUUGUAUUAUUUAUGUUCCUAUUGAUUUUGAAGAUCAUGGCAUGACAUUGAUCACCUGUGUUCCUGAACAUCUGGGUGAAAAAGGUUUUAUCCUCCAGUCUACAGGAUGUUCUUGGUCAUCUUCAUGUAGGAAUUGUACUAGCUGCUGGUUAUUAGUGAGAAAGGUGGUGUCAGUGAAGUUGAGUCGUUCACUAACAACUGCUGCUAGAGCAAGUGCUACAACUUCCGCCAUGAGGACUGAGUGGACUUCCAAGGCUUGUGCUGUGAUGUAGAUGGUUUGUGUGGUUGUACCUAUGGAUUGACAAAAAAUCCCAAGUCCUAUAGCUAUAUACUGCCUGGUUGGUUGGUCAUACCUUAAGGAGGCAUCAAUGAAGCAUCUGACUCCUUGGAUGAGCUCCAAUAUAGAGAUGAAGUAUUUGUCUGUCUAAGGUGAAGCUCUUGCAUUAGAUGUGAUAAUACCUGGUGAAGUCGGGGUGGCUUGAUUUGUGAGCAUCAUUUUCUAGGGGGUUUGUGCUUGUUGUUCCUCCAUAGGGUGUGAGGUGCAGGUUCCUCCUGUUGGUGCUGCAUGUGAUCAGGUGCAGGCGUCUCCAUCUGUUGAGGUGUGUGGCUGUGAUCCUACGAAGUAAUAGCAAUGGCAGUUUGCGUACCUUGUGCAGUCAUUUGUGGGGGUUGAGGUGGGAUAAGUAGAGUGUCGGUUUGGUGGCUGCUAAUGUGGGCUACGACCACAUGGUGUACCUGCCAUGGAGUCCAAGUUUUUCUGUGAAAUCAAAUAUCAUUCCUAGCUUUCCACAAAUACCAGAAAGUGAUUAGUAAUUUGUUGAAUACAGUAGAUGGGAUGGCGGCGGGGAUGAAGCUUGGUAGGAUUAGUUGCACGCCAUUAGUAUCUUGAGGUAAAUUGUCAGUGCAAAGAAGGGGAUUUGAUGAGAAUACUGUUGUGGGAGGUGAUAGUGGAAGAAUAGGUGGGCAUCAUCCUCCACCACGCCAUAGGAACAUAGUGCUUGUCUAUGUGGGGGAGUAUCUCGCUGCUUGUUUUGUUGUAGCUAGGGCUCUUUUGAUGAGUCUCCAAGUGAAGGAUUUAACUAGAGAUGGUGGCUCCUUACUAUUCCAUUCUCUCUGCAUAAUGGAGUUAGCAUGGGGUCCACCUCAAGAUGUCAUGACCAUCACUAUGAAUAGUUGGUGUUACAGUUAUGACCUGUACAUCCUAAGCAUCAAAGAUGUUAGUGAUGAGGUGAACAUUCGUGUUAUGGGAAUUUGGUUGCUAAAGAUUAGAGAAAUGGUUGGCAUUGGAGAUUGAGUAGCUAGCAGGAUCAUGUGGUCAUGGAUAGAGUUCCGAAUGGGCACCAAGGGGUGGACCAUAUAGAACUGUUACUUGAAUGGAUCUAGUAGACAGAGUUGGAGCGAAGUUUAGUUUUGACCUACAAAAUAGAAGACCAGAAGAUUGAUCUAGGACCAGUGGUGUUGGCUUUCCAAAAGGAGGUGUUGUGGAACUAUUUAGCCUUAAGGACAGAGGUGAGCAUGGGGUUUUUAUUAGUAGCAAUGUUUGCCAAGACCCCCAUUCUUCUUGGGCUAGCAAAUGUCUUCCCAAGACAUGAACGCAAUGGGAGAUGUAGGGUUGUCUUUCUAGACUCUAGUGCACCAAAAUUUCCUGAUUAUAGUGUUGAUUUUACCUAUCAUAGUAUUAGAAAAUAGCACAGUACACAUGUAGUAUACAGGGACCAAAGCUAGGACAGAUUUGAUGUAAGUCAGUCUCCCUGCAUGAUUAAGCUUGUUAGCUUUCACAGUAGUUAACUUAGCUCUAAAUUUUUUAAGAAUAAACUCAUAAACCUUAUUCCGAUCAUUACGAUUAAAAUAAUCAGGUGGCCCAAGGUGCAUGCUAUUAGGAAGGAGGUCAGGGGUAGGAAAGAUGUUCCUGAUAUCAUUUCUAGUGGUCAAAGGCACCUUUUUACUAAAAAGGAUUGAGGACUUCUAAAGAUUGGGAGUUUGCCUAGAGAGGUGGCAAAAGUCUUGUAAAAUGUCCCAGAUUUUGGUGGCUUCAAUGAUGGAGGCCUCGCCACAUAAGAUUAGAUCAUCAACAAAGAGAAGAGAGUGAAUGGGAGGGCAACUAGGACCAAGGGAAAUGCCCAAAAAAUUGGAGUAAUGAGUUCAGUUUGAAGGUGAAUGGAUAGCUCAUUGGUGGCCACAACAAAAAGACAAUGAGAGAGGGGGCAGCCCGGGCGAAUACCAUGAUGGGGAGUGAAGGAGGUGGAAGGCUCUCCAUUGAUAAGGAUGGAGAAAGUAGUAGUGGAAAUACAAGCUUGAAUGAGGUUGGUGAAAUUGGAGGGCAGCCCAAGACGAUUUAGAGAGUCCCAAUUCAGACAAUCAAACGUUUGGCCAGGUCAAGCUUGAGAUAAAAAAGCUUGCUGGUUCCAGUUUUUUAGGUUGGAAGAGAUGUGCCUGUGUUUUGAUGAAUGCAACUUAAGAUUAUUGAGUCAAUCGACAGCAACUUUGGCGUUUAGUAGAACACAGCAUGGUGCCAAGAUGAUACUACGAUGUCAGCAAAAACUUGUGGGAUCCACCAUUUAGUAAACGAUUAAAGAAAUUUUGAUUUCUUUUUUGUCGUUUCUGCACACCUCCAUGCCUACCAUACGUGUACUGUGUUGUUUUCAGUGGCGGAGGCAGCUGGCAAGGUUCGGCCUCCGCCGUACCUAAAAUGUAUAGAAAACACUAGUAUAUUAUGUGUAUAUACGGUUAUACACGUGAAAUAUACAUGGCUUAGCCUCUGCCACUGUGCACGAAUAGAUUUUGUUUGUGGGCUGGUAUCUCGUGGGCUUACACGACUACGAGCCCGUUCGCUUCUUAGCUGUACUUUUUUUCAGUGAUUUUUUUUUGACCAGCGAAUAGGCUCUAUGUCAAAAGCCCACGACACUAUCCAUAGAAGGAAGCAGCUCAUUGGUCUUCCUGCCUUCCUGGCUGGUCGACUACUCCAGGUUUUAGUGGCCGACUUGUUUAGUUUCAAUUUUUUUUAGCAAAAUAGAUACUGUAGCACUUUUGUUUGUAUUUAACAAAUAUUAUUCAAUUAUAGACUAACUAGGCUCAAGAGAUCUGUCUCGCAAAUUAUAGACAAACUGUAUAAUUAGUUAUUUAUUUUAUUUAUAUUUAGUGUUUCAUGCAUGCAGUGGCGGAGGCAGGAUUUUUGCUUGGGAUAUGCCAAACAAAAAGUUUUCAUAUACAAAUCGGUAAAAUCUAUUUAGCAAUUCGGUAGAAUUUUAUAAAAAAAAUGUCUAACAAUUCGGUACACAACUGUUAAGGCCUUGUUUAGUUCCAAAAUGGACAUUGUAGUAUUUUCGUUUGUAUUUAAUAAAUAUUAUCCAAUCAUAGACUAACUAGGCUCAAAAGAUUUGUUUCGCAAAUUACAUGCAAAUUGUGCAAUUAUUUUUUAUUUAUAUUUAAUACUUCAUAUAUGUGCCGCAAGAUUCGAUGUGACAAAGAAACUUUCAAAAUUUUGCUAAUUUUUUGGGACGUAAACAAGGCCUAAAUGGCAUAAGUCGUGCGUCCAUGGUGUGUUUGAAAGGAGCGUCCGAGAGCAGGUGCGAGACGAAUACCGAGGUCUUGUUUAGUUCUUCUAUGGUCUCCAAUGGGAGGGUUAGCUGAUCCACAUUAGUUAACCACUACUCCACAUUGGGCAAAGUGAUUUUGUUAACGCACGUAGCCACGGUAAAUCAUAAUUAAAGAGCCAUCGUGAUCAACUUUCAUUAUGUGAGCUUGAACAAAAUGAUCAACAUCAAGAGUUGGCCUACAAAUAAUUGUAGAGCUUUGCUAAAUUUCCACACCCUUUCUCCCACUCCAAAAAGCCAAAGUGCUCAAUCCUUAAGCAAAUCAUUCCACCAGGAGAACAAAAGCAAUGUUGUGGUGAUCAACAUCAAGGUAUAUCUGUAGAGCUUUGCUUUUACCGGUUAACGUGCAAUAUGAGUGCACAAUUAUGUUUAGGAUAGAUUUAUUAAGCUAAUAUUGUUAUCUAGUGCCACUAGGUGGGGACUAACAAUACACAUGUGUUAGACUCAGUGACAUGGUGAGGAAGCAAGUGAAAACCUUUGAAAAUGCAAACUCAGUGCUAAAGGUGUUAUUGUUCCGUCUGCCACAUUUGGGAGAUAUCAUAUUUGAAAAAGGGUUUAAGAGAGGGGCUUGGUGAGAUGGUUUGAAUAGUCACUAGAUAAGUCCGGUGGUCAUCAGAGCUUAGGCACACCCACUUUACUAGUCUAGUCAUCAGGCUGUCUCACUCUGUAGUGGGCCACCAAAAAUAUCCAUGCCUCUAGGUCCGAGCACUAAAGUUUAGGCUCCUUCACUUUGGGAGAGAAGGGGACGCUGGACACGAGGCAACAAUCGGCAAUGGCUGCAAAGCACACAAAGUUUAGAAGGAUAAAGGAAGACGACUAGAGGAGGUUAAAUAGUCAUUUCUAUAACUAAAUCAUGAAUCCUAGGCAAAUAAAUAACAUUAAUAAACUAUUUGUCACUUCCCACUAUAACAGCAGAAAUAAAACAACAGAGAUAAUCUAUUUUCAUAACAAUACAAUAAAAGGUACAUGACUCAUUAUUUCCAUGAUGAUUCCAUCCCUACCUGCGAGCGUGGAAAGCCUAAAAAGCCUCUCUCCACGGCCUUCCUAAAAAAAGCCCACCUGGCCACCUGUAGUUCAAUAUAAGCUACUGGAGAAGCUAGGCGUUUGGUCCAUCUCGAACCGCUUUUAAAGCUAAACAGCCCAAUAACCCAUUUCAAACAAGGUCGAAGCCCAAUGAGGCAGGUGGCCCAAAACCUGACCCGAUUCUCUCCCAAUUCUUUUUCCUCGUGUUGGAAUCGGAAUUGGAAUUGGAAUUUGUACGUAGUGGCGGCGAUAUCUGGUUCAGAGUGGGUGUUGAUUCGUGGAGAGCAGCUGGUCGGGCCCAUCCGCGCAGUUGGCUUGGCUUGGCCGCUGCCGCCCGUGCUCGCACCGGCCGCCCCACCUCCAUCUUCCCAUGGUGGUGGUAUCAUCCCCCCCCUUUCCUCUUCCUCCUCCCCACGUGCAACCACCUAACCCCUCUCCCACCGCCCUCCUCGCCUAGCCCGCCGCCACAGCGGCCGUCGACGAGCGCCAUGCCCGCCGCGGCGUCCACCUCCGCGACCUCGCUGCUGCUGGGCGGCGGCAGGCUCCCGCGGCUCCAGCUCCAGUCCCUCCGCGCCCCCGCCAAGCCCCCCUUCCGCCGCCCGGCCUCGUCCCCGUCCACACCGCUCCCCAGAUGCCGCGCCAGCGCGAGCCCCCGCCCUCUGGGCCCCGUCUCCGCCUCCGCCCUCGCGCUGCCCGUGUCGGUGACGGCCGCUCCCCCACCGCAGGUGGAGGAUGGUGGCUGGGUGGGAGGCGCGGCCGCGGCCGCGGCCGUGAGGAGAGUAGCUGUGGCGGUGGCGUGCGGGGCGCUCGCGGCGGCGUGGUGCCGCCGGGCGAUGGCUGUGGGGGCGGCCACGGCGGCGGGAGCGGGAGCGGGGGCCGGGGCCGGGGCGACGGGGGCGGUGGAAGCUGCCGCGGGGAUUGGAGGGAUGGCGCUGCACGGGGGCUGGCCGAGAGUGCUGCAGAUUCUGCAGCUGCUCAGGGAGCAGGGCCUGGUUCUGGCCGCGCUGCUCGGCCUCUCUGCGUUCUUCUCCAUGGCAGAAACUUCUAUCACGACGCUUUGGCCUUGGAAGGUGCGUUCAGCAAGUCUACGGAGACCCAUUUUCUUAAACUCCUGUUGUUGCCAUAGUAAUUACUGUACGUACGCGAAAUGAACUAUGCUUCCAGUUUUGCAAUCGGUUUGGUUCACUGAGCUACGAGGUAGGAUAUUGGGAGAUUUUUGGAUACUUAGAUGAGCAGAUUGGUAUUGGUGUAGUGUUGCUGCUAAGAGGGGAUGCUGAGAUGGGGUGAGUGUCUUAUGGGUACGUCCUUGUAUCAACUACUAUACUCAUUCUAAAUGGGUUUAUGCAAUGAGUAUUUGUAUGAACAAAGCAAACGGAUACGCACUAGCUUAGGCUGUUGGGUUGGGCUGUGGCAUGUGUGGGUCGAGGAUGUGGCGGUUGUCAUGCACAUCCUGCUUCAGCAGUGAUGUGAUAAUUUUGUCUCGCUUGCUGAUGACAUAAUCCACAGCACAAGUUUGUAUUUGAGAAGUGAUGUCACUGCUGGGAGUGUUGCUGAAAGACAUGGGGAAAGCAUUAUUGCUCCUUCCUUUUUUUUGUAGGAUAGAGGGCUGAGCAGCAGGCAUAACUGAUUGACAAGCUGACAACAGCAAGGUGCUUCAGAUAUAAUGACAGUGUGCACAUGCGCUUUAGUGACAUGUUGUGCUAGUGAUCUGUAGGAGAAUUAGGCAGGGAAUCUAUGCAAGGAAAGUUUUUAUUAUUUUGAAACUGGAACUAAUGACACUGGUAUUGGAUUACCGGUCUUACUGACUUUAUAUAUAAUCUCCCUUCACACCUAAUCUCAUCAACUGGAUAGGUAUUUCUGGUUCAGAAUAUUUAUAGCUUUGAACAGAACAUUGGUGCUCUUGUAACUAUCAUUAAAGGGGUCCUGCCUCUUUGUUCAUGUUUAUCAACAUUUAAAUUCAAUUCUAAUUCUUCAAAGACUACAACAAGGUGAUCAAUGUAAAUUGAUGGCUGGAUUCGGUUAAUCACAUGUUGAACUUGCAUUUUAUUUUUAGUAGAGGUUUAUUUGCAAGCACAGGAAUAAUGAAGCCCUAGGUUUAGUGCAUUUUUUCCCUCCAGAGUUGAGCCUAAGGAUUCAAGUUCACUGACACUUAUCAUUGUGGGUUCAAGCAUUUGCACACAUAUUAGCAUAUUGAAAUGGCUAAAGUAUUAGAGGUUGGUGCUAGAGUCUUUCCAUAACAGCGCACUUGGGACUGAAGUUUGAUUCAUGCAAAAUUUUUCAAUUGAAUCAUGCUUGAUGUUCAAAAACUAGCAAGAAUCAUAGAAAUAGCAACACUGUAUUGUGUAAUAGGUUGCAUACCUUUUCCCCCUUUGCAUUUGUUUAUUUUUCUAACGUUGUUUGGAAAUUGCCACAUCAAGGCCUAAUUUUCUAGUGAUCUGCCUAGCGCCCAAUAGCUAGCUAGCCUCUCUACUCAAGCAUUGAGGCAUCACCCCCUUCUACCCACCUAGGGCAUUUUCAGAUCAGUGUUUUGAAACUUUGCUUCGUAGUGGUACUCUUUUCUUAUUGUAACUGACUGUAUGCUGAGAGCGAAUAUCUAUAUGCUGAGACUUUGCUGAUUUCUUUUUUCCUUUGCAUUAGGUUCGUGAACUAGCUGAGAAGGAACCUGAGAAUGGUGUUUUCAAAAUGCUCCGAAAUGACGUCACUCGUUUCCUGACAACUAUUCUCAUUGGCACAACGUAAUCCAUGGCAUUUCUAAGUUGUGCAUCACUCAUUGCAAUUUUGUUUUACUAACCCUAAACCCUAAUCUCGGGCAUAAUUUGUAUGAAAUAGUGUGGUCAACAUUGGCGCAACAGCAAUUGUUACUGAGGCAGCAACAGCAAUGUUUGGUGAAGCAGGUGUUAGUGCAGCAACAGGUGUCAUGACAGUAUGUCUCCUGUCUCAUACUGGCCUUCUGCUCUUGUGUAAGUGUUCUUUAAUCUAACUAUGGAGCACCAUUUUUUAGGUUGCCAUCUUACUUCUUACAGAGAUCACUCCCAAAAGUGUUGCAGUCCAUAAUGCCACCGAGGUCGCUAGGUUUGUGGUAAGGUGAGAGAUAUCAAGUAUAACUUAGUUUCAAACAUGUUUAUUUUGAGUACUGAACAUUGUGCAUUUGUUGCGAUAUAUCAGACCGGUCGCAUGGCUUUCGCUGAUCCUCUAUCCAGUUGGGCGGAUUGCUACUUUUCUGUCUAUGGGAAUGCUAAAGAUUCUAGGCCUGAAAGGGAGAAGGUAAGACUGUAAGAGUAUGUAUAAUACUCUAGUUCUUGAUCAACUAGAAGAUAAAUUCUUUGAAAAUAUGCCAACUCAAUAAGCUCAUGUUAGUCAUAGAUUAUAUCCCCCAUUAGUUAUGAUAUGCUUUCAAGAAGGAUACACAAACAAUAAAUUAAUUCAUGCCACAAGAACCACACAGAACUCUUUUUUAAGAGCAUAUGGCUUGCUCUGCGUAGUGGAUAUAACCAGGGAAGCACAAGGAUUGAGUUUCUAGGUGUGUGUGGGUUCUGCUCAGGUGGGCAACUCUAGCUUCAUCCAUCUGUAUCUUUUUCUUGAUGAAAUGGCAUGCAGCUCUUUUGCGUCAUUCGAGAAAAAAUAACCAGGGAAGCACACUGAUUGAGUUCCUGGUUCCUGCCAAAUAAAAUCUCACCUGUUUUCUUUUAAAAAUGGAUUAAACUUGUAUAUUACUAGAAUUCAAGUACAAAUGAGAUGGUACAACAUGGACUAGAUUAGACUAGUUUGAGUAUGUGUUGAGUCUAGUUUAUAGGGUGAUAGUUGUACUUUCUAAAAUUUCUAUAAUUAGUAAAUAGUGCAGUGACUAUAUUUUUAAUCAAUAGAUGACCGUUGACACUAUUCCAAGAAUUGCAUAUCAUCUGUUAUUGUUCAUGAAGGAUCUAAUUCUAGUUUGAAUUUGCUAGAAACUUAUUGAUUGCUUUCUGUAUAAUUUAGUUUACAAAUUGAAUUUAGUAUCUGAUAUUGUAAUACAAUACACAUUUGUAUGUUAUUUUUUGCAUUUUUUUUACAAAAUCCAGUACUCAAGUACAUUGAUUUGCUAUGUCUUUUAGUUACUACAUUUGUAUAUGUUUAACCAAUAUACAAUUGAGAUUCCUAUAUAGAUAAGAUUUAGUUUUUCUUUUUCAUAACUCUUGACAUUUCUGGAGAUCUACUUCUGAAUCUUGUGCAUCAUAUACACUUCUUUCCUCAGUGAACCAUAUGUUACUGAAGAUGAACUGAAGUUAAUGUUACGAGGAGCAGAGUUGAGUGGUGCAAUUGCAGAAGAUGAACAGGUUAGACAAUCUAGUAUAUGGAGAUGCCCAUAUAUUGUGCUGCAUAUUUCCUUCUUUAUUCUUUAUGUUUCUGUGUACCUCACAGCAAGAUUUUGUUAUCCAGUGCAAUCUAGGCAAAGCCUUUACUUACAAUUUUUAUAUCAUAUAGAAAGCUGACUACUUACAUAAAUAAAGAGUGAAUUAAUGAAAUUUCAGGAAAAUAGUAACUAACGUUUUUGCAUGAUUUUAACUGCUAAUUUAAUGUUUGUACACCAUCUCAUCACAUAUAUCCAGAAUUUGAAAAGCAGUAUGGCCCCAAAGGUUUGAGUUAGAUUAUACUGUUGCAGACUAGGAUUUUGCCUCUUGAUAGUUUACUAGCACACUUUGGCUACUUCUUUGUUUUCUUGAAAACGCAGGAGAGCUGCACUUCAUUAUAUUAAGAGGAUAAAGGGCAAGAGCCCGAACAACCCCACAAACACCAUACACACACCACACACAUCACACACUCACGCCCCAACAGAAAUGUUACAUUCGCGCCCGUAAGAAAACACACAACGCGACCACUACUAGGCUAAACAUUUCUAACUAUCGGGGAGGAGGGCAGUCAAGAAUGAUAGCUCUCGAGCUGCUGCCAUAGACCAUAAACGGCGCUCCUCGCCUGCUAUGAUCAGAGCGCCAGCAAGGUUUGGAGCUGCUCCAUCAAAGACACACCCAUUGCGAUGGUUCCAUAUAGUCCAAGCUCCGAGCAUAACAAGAGAAUUAAUUCCUUGCCUUGUCAGCCCAUCAGCAGUGCUGCUAGCCUUCUCCCACCAAGCAUGGAAGGAUAAUUCUGUAAGCUGAGGGGACAAAAGCCUGAUUGAACCAAAAUUCUCUUGUGAACACACAAUGGACAAGUAGAUGGUCGAUAGUCUCCUUUUCAUGGUCACAAAGGAGGCAAUUCUCCGGAUGAGGUAACCCUCGGCGUGCUAGACGAUCAGCUGUCCAGCACUUAUUGUGCGACCAGCCACAUAAAGAAACGGCAUUUGGGCAGCACCCAUGAUUUCCAAAUCUUUUCCCAUGGUCCAAAAAGAGUAGAUCCGAAAAAGAAGCCUUCAUAUGCCGAUUUAGCCAAGUAUUGUCCAUUAGAGGAGAGCCUCCAUAGGUGCUGCAGCUGAAAAUCCAGAAGUAGAUCCCACCAUAAGUGAAAGUAGUCAACAAACCCACCAACUGUGAGCGCUCCUUGUAUGUCCAAAAUCCAAGCCCGGUUAGUAAGGGCAUCCUGGACAGUAUGCUGCUUAACCCUCCUUUUAGGAGUAGCCACAAAAAGUCGAGGGGCAAGAUCUGCAAUGCAUUGCCCAUUGAUCCGAUCUGUCCAGAAAAGAGUGUUUGCACCAUCCAAUUUCAGAAGUUACUGCCACUGAGUAGAAGGCUCUUACUUGCUUCGGCACAUGGAAUGGUAGAGCAGCCCAAGGACAAUGAGGUUCUGUUUUCUGCAGCCAAACCCAUCUCGUGCGCAAGGACCAGCCAAGGGUUUUUAAAUCUGAAAUUCCCAGGCCUCCAAGCUCUGGUGGGCCACAGACUUUGACCCAAGCCACAAGACAAUGACCACCUUUUUGCAUAUUUUCGACCCCUCCAAAGAAAGCCACGCCAAAUUUUAUUUACCACUUUGAUAGCCAUGGAGGAAAGUCGAAAGCAAUAGCUAAGUAAAUGAGCAUUCUCAGUGAGAACUGAUUGUACUUGAACCCUUCUUCCAGCCCUUGUCAUUAGGUCUGCCUUCCAGCCAGGAAGUUGAUCUGCAGUACGAUCAAUAAUAGGCUGCACUUGUUUCUUUAGGGAGAGGGGCAGACCUAAGUAUUUGCAUGGGAAAUCCGAGAGGGGCACACCUAGCUAGUUUCUUUGGCUACUGUUAUCCUUUAGGUAUUUUGCAGAACCUUUCCAUAGCAAUCCCAUUAAUCUUUAGGAAGCGAUCCCAUUUGUUAAAGCCCCUGCAGGCAACUUUCAAGUUCAUUAUUCUCGAUCACAGGUAGUCAUUCUGCAUAUUUUUCCCUCAGAAUCAUCAUAAGAAUUGGGUUAAGUGGAUAGGUCAGACUAUAGCAUGGAAAUACAUAAGUACUGAUAGGUUGUUGAAACUAUCUAAGACUACAGAUUUAUCGUGUCAAUUUGUCACAAAUAACAGAUUUUAGCUGAUGAAAUCAGUACUUCUGCAGUACAUAGAAAUACUAAAUGUGUAGUUUUAGUUUUGCAAAAACAAGGACACUAAAUUUAUAAUUCUGUGAUAAAACUUCUUAAAUCUGUAGUUUUGUGAUAGCAUAGCCCACUCACACAUAUACAAAAAAAAAGAAAAAGAAAAAAAGGAACCAUAUAGUUAUUUAUGUGCUUAGAUUCUAGGCCCUAGAACUAGAACCUAUAGCUGUGUUACACUAUUAUGAAUUCCUAGUCCGUGCCUGCUUGUGCAGGACACUUUUCUACUUGAUCAGCUAAAGUCAGCACCUGAGUCUUUUAACAGGAUAUGAUCGAGAAUGUCCUGGAAAUUAAAGAUACACAGGUGAGGGAAGUAAUGACGCCUUUGGUGGACGUAGUUGCAAUUGAUGCUAUUGCAACACUUAUUGAUUUCAAAAACUUGUGGGAAACUCAUCAGUACUCUAGGUAUUGUCAACUAUUAUUGUCGCGUGUAUUUUCAAGUCUUAUCACUGACAUCUGCUGCUAUUUGUUAUUUCCAGAGUUCCUGUAUUUGAGGAGCGCAUAGAUAAUAUUGUUGGAAUUGCAUAUGCAAUGGACAUGCUUGAAUAUGUUGAAGAGGUAUGUCUCUUGUUUACCAUUUAAUGUAAAACUUAAUCACAGUGAGUCUUAUUUGCUCCACAUGAUGCUUCUCUAAAGGGAAAGUAAAAGGUGUAUUUUUCUUUUGAAGGUUGAGAAGCUGAAUGAAAUCACUGUUAAGAAAAUCGCACAUAUGCCUACAUACUUUGUUCCAGGUAAUUUUUAGUAACAUUGUUGGAUACAAGUAUCAUGAUGAACUAAAAGAAGGCAUCUGUCAGUAGUUAUAGGGUUGGAUGUUUUUCCACAACAAUUAAUCAUUUCUGCCACAUGUUUUCUCCCAUCUAUGCAUCAUGGAUGUAACAUAUGAUACUGUUUCAUCUGGCAGAUUCAAUGUCUGUUUGGAACCUAUUAAGAGAGUUCCGGAUCAGGCAGGUUCAUAUGGCAGUGGUCCUUAAUGAAUAUGGUGGAACUAUUGGUGUAUGUCCCUAUGAAACCCAUUUUUUAUACUUUACAAACUGGACACAGUUUAGUACUUGUUAAUAUUCUUGUUAUGCUUUCAUCCAAGGCUAGUUGCUCAAUUGAGACCAUUUUGACUUAUGGCACACAACGAGGUUCAACAUUGUUUACUCCAAUCAAUUUUUAGUUGUAACUUCCAAGCAUGCUAGUUAGUUUGCUAAUAAUUGAUGAAUGCUAGUCAGUACAUGGUGACAUUUUGAUGGCCAUUUAUUGGCAACACUACUGGCUUUUGUUCCACAAUGGUCGUGUUUUUAGCACAAGCAUGUGGUGCGAUGCUUCAAGUGAUCUUGCUGCACAGCUUAUGUAACUGCAGCAAUGGGGCACUUUUCAUCUGUUGCAGUAGCAGUCCCUGUUGUUCAUGGUUUGUUUCCUUUUAAGAUAUACCCCACACAUAGAGAUUAGUUAUGCUCCAUGCAGCAGAGAUUAUUACUUUCCACAAGUUUAGAGAUUGUUUCUUAGGAAGUAGUUAUGCUCACAGUUUGUUCAUCAGUUUCUGUUUUCAGAAGUAGUUGAUGAGCGAUGAACAUGUUUUGAUUAUGUUUGCUGCUGAAAGGAUAAUUCUUUAAGAUGUUUUUCUCAUUACUGAUGCUCAUUGGUAAAAGUUGCAAAUGAUUGGACAAAGCUACUACCCGUGAGCUUCCUUUGUCUCACAUACCCUUCGAGCAAUUACGCUUUAAUGUAGCAAUAUCUAUCCAUUACUUGCAGCAACUAAGUCCUAUUGUAUUCAGAAAUGUUUAUUAGAACAGUUUGUAAUUUCAUAUGUUUAUCACUGCAUGGGACAUUGGGAAUUACUCUGACCUUUGGCCAAAAAAAAAUGCAGAUUGUAACACUAGAAGAUGUAGUGGAAGAAAUAGUUGGUGAAAUAUUUGACGAGAAUGAUUCCAAGGUGAUUAUUUCUGGAAUUUUUUAUUUCAAAUCGCAAGUGGGUGUUCAGUGCCAUACAUAUGCAUGCUAUUAUUUUCUAUUUCUUUUUCAAAAUUAUUUCCCCCUUUCUUUUGGUUUAUUAUUCCCUUUUUGCCUUGUAACUAUCGUUCUUAUAUUACAUAACUGACUUUUCAUAUGUUGGUAAUAAAUAAUGAUAUGCUAGCAUUUGAACUUACGAAAUUUAGUGGGCCAAACAUACUGAGCCAUGCCAAAAAAGACAGGCAAAUCAUACAGUCAUAUUUUAGCAGCAGCAGUGCAUUAGCGCGGUGGGUACUGAGCCGGAGUUUGCAUGUGCCUGAAGGUGGCUGAAUGAAUAAGGUGGAUAUUACCCUACCCGCACCCAAAUCAAAAUGUGUAUUUUAUUUCUACCCAUACCCUCCCCAAUUAAUGCGGGUGUGGAUUUGAAUAUGGGGAUUGAAUAUCCAGCGGCAGGUAUAAAGAUUAGAUCUCCUGCCUCAGUGCUUCUCCAAGAUCUGGAAGCAGCUGCUUCACUCCUAUUUUCUGUAUCCUAGUCAAAACAAAGGAUUUUUCCAUGUAGCAAGCUAGUUGCUCUUUGUCAUUUGCUUAGGCAGUCUCUCAAUUCCUUCUGCUACUCUGUUUUUCACCCUUUCAGGAGGAAAUCCAGAAGAAAACAGGCUAUAUAGUGAGGCGGGGAGAUGGAACAUUUGAUGUUGAUGCAAAUACAUCAAUAGAUCACCUCUCUGAAGAGCUUGGUAUCAAAAUACCAGAGGUAUUGUUUCUCAUUUGAUCUUAGCUUUCUCUACAGUUGCUAUGCAUUCCCUUGGACAUGUGUAUAUUUAAGGAAGGUAUGGCUCGGAAAAUAGUAGAUUGAUUAUGAGUAGUACAAAAGGGUAGGCAAGGAUGAUCUGGGAUUUAUAGAACAAUACCCAAUCAGGGAGAUCCUUGCCUAAUAGCUAAUCAACUACAUAAAACCCAUGGAGGCAGGCUUAGGUGCCAGGGCCCAUGCGGCCAGCCCAAUAGCCCUCUGGAAACUCCAUUCUAACAUAUAUGUUGGAGUGGACACUGUAUGAUGAUCAUCGAAAUGUGAGUUCCAUCAUUUAGAGAUGCCUGGUUUGCAGAACCUAUACAGAUAUAACGUUAUUAUAUCUAUUUUUUGGUGGAAACUGGACAUUUAAUAUUUAGGUCAACAAAAUAUUCACAAAUGUUCUGUUUGUAAAAUAUGCCCUUGGUAGUCAUCAUUUAUAUGGUGCUCUGUAUUUCUGUCAUGUUUCUCGUAGAUUGGCUGAUAAUCUUGAGACACUUGGACACUAUCUUUUGGCAGGGGCAUCAGUAUGAGACGGUGUCUGGUUUUGUCUGUGCAUCUUUUGGCUAUAUUCCAGAAGAAGGUGGGAAAAUGCUUGUGAUUCUUGAAAAGGAUUACAGAGAAGAAAACGGUGAAUAUCAGGAGGAAGGUUCUGAUCGCCAAGAUGAUAGAGAAAAAACUCAAGCUUACGAACUUGAGGUAAUUGUUACAACUCCUUGUGUACUCUGUUUGCUCAAGAGUUCUAGUACCAGGUCAAUUAUUAUAAUGCGAUUAUCUUGUCAUCGCUAGAAAUCUUUACUAGUAUAUAUAACUAUUAUGAAUUUUCCUUCAUUACUUGAAAGCUGAAAGACACCACAAAAGCUUCAAUUUUCUUUGUUGAUGCAAUACCAUGAAACCUUUUUUGUUAAAUAACUCUCAUUAGAACCAAUUUUCCAUACAGGGCAUUUGGUUCUUAGAUCAUUUUAUAGGAUAUUUCGUACUAUAAGUAAGAACCAACUACUAUCCACAAUUACCUCUACAUGCUUGUUUGUGCAUAUAAAAAGACAACAAUACUCAGAAGGUUGCUGUAACAUGUCCACACUCCGCUUUUGUGGUGCUAAUACUACCGAACAUUUGUAAUUGCUUUUUUUAUUUGAAGCUAAAAAAAGAAAGUAUACAAAAACUAAUAGAUAAGAAAACCAACUACUCAAUUGUCAAUUCAGAAUUCAUACUGUGGGUUAUAAGGUUAUUUCAGUGAAAUUGUUUUGGUAUUGGUACACAACCUUUAUUAGUUGGUGCAACUCCCAUUUCCGGAAGUCUUCGUACACUUUAAUUGAAUUGCUGCAGCCCUAGGAAUCCAUAGUUUCUGUUUCACAAUUCACCCAAAGUUUCAUUCUUUGUUGCAGAAUUAAAUAACCUUCUGUAGUUGUUUUCACUACCUUUAUUACCUGGCUUCUCUUGCUCACAGAUAGUGGAAGCUAAUGCAAGGAAGGUGGGCAAAGUCCUAUUUAAGCCAAUAAGCAGUGAAUGUGUUGGUGUUGACAACAAGGGUGUGAACCGCCUGGUCUCCAAGAAGAUCAUCAAACGGAAGAAGCAGGGCUAUGAUGAUUCCUCCGGUGACGAGUAUCCAGAUACAACAGAGAAUGGCUGCCCUGCUGAGGCACUCUCCUACUCGGAUGGUAACAGUGCCUUGUUGGAAGAUGCAAGCAGUUCUAGUGCCAAGAGGUGACAAUAAAGGAACUCCAAGACCAUCGUACUACUGGUAAUAAUUACAGCACACCGUCACCGGUCCUAAUACCCCUUGUUACAACAGAAGAAGAUGAGAAGAACAUAGUAGUAGGCUACCCAAAAAAAAAAACUGCGAGAGCAACACCAAGAGGUUAACAGCAGUUUAAGGCAUUGCAACAUUUUUCAGUAGCAGGAGUAGCAGUAGUAGCAGUCUAGAGGUGCAGCGAGGUGUCGACGUCGACUUCACCAGAGACAUGUUUGUAGUUGUAGGUCUUACUGGGCCACAGCUCCACCGCAAUGGGGUCGCUAUCGCCGUGGAGCUGGAAGCUUUUGCAUUCACAGACAGUGGUUGGCACGGCCGGGAAUAAGGAGGCUGCGGCGGCAACAGCGGCAGUGGUUUCCCGCAGCGGCCUGCACGGGUAGAGCAGCUCCGGGUGGAAGAACCACUUGACGGGCAUCUCCCUCGGGGAGGCGGUGGCCGCAGGGCGGGGGGCGAGCACGUGGAGAAGCCUCUCCUCCCGCUUCUCCCUGAUCCUCUCCAGCUCCCUGAACCUCUGCUGCAGCAGGGCGAUGGAGGAGAACAUCACCUGGCCUUCGCUGCUCUGCACCCCCAUGAUGACUGGGCGAGAGGGGGAGCUCUCACUCCAGCUCCGAGUUUCAGUUACGUGUUCGUGUCGUGUGUAUCUCACUCAAGCGUCUGUCUACUUCGCUCGGUGUGUGUGGGGGUUUUGCUUGCUGCUUGAAGGGGUGGUGGUCUUGGGCAUGUGCGUAUUUAUAAGCCGCAAAGUUUUGUCACGGCGCAGGGCGUCGUCUUGUGGUCGUCUUGCAAGUUGCGCCAAUUCUUUCAUCUUCAUCUUCCAUUAUGUGAUGCUAUGCCUGUUUGUGUGUUUUGUUUAUGGGCUGAUUGAAAAACAAAAGAGGCACUAUUGGUAUGAGAGAGAAUCUGGGAGGAGAAUGUCACGUCGCCCGAGAAAGGAAGUGGGAGGCGUGCAGGUGAGAGAAUAAGGGGCGUGGCGUGGGAGAGUCCAAGGAAAUGGGGCUGUGGACGCUUGCGCUUGUUCCGUUCCUGGCGGUGGGAAUCGCCGUGUGCCGUUGUGAUGUGCGGGGUGGCCAUGAUUGCGCCUCUGUUUGUCUGUCACCUUUUUCCCUUGCGCAUUGCUGCAGCAGCAGGGCAGGGGAGAGGUCUGCAUGCCCUGCCAUGCCCUGCCCUGCUGCUCGUACUAGCUCGCUACUACUCCCUUCCCCCUCUCCAUCCAAACGGGCACUGCGAGCUUUUCCUGGUCUAUAAUGGCGUCGUUGGAGCUGUAGUACGUGCUGUUCGUAGCAACUGUGGGCAGCGCUUUCAGGUGUGGAACUGUGCACUCCAUGAGCCAUUGUCUUCGUUUGCGUGUGUGAACGUGUUGGAGAGUCUGGGAGCAGAAAGUCUGCGUUGAACGUUACUUCUUUGGGUCUUUGACUGGUGCGUCCAUAGAUCUGUGAAUGGGAGCGCUGAUUGCACGCUGCGUAGUACAGUGCGUUCGAGUAACGCUGAGACGGCGUGCUGCUUUGAAGUUUCAACUUUUGGUUAAUUCAGGAAAGUUGAUUGAUCUUAUGUUUUUUGACGGCCAGGUAAACACGGCCAAUUGCACCGGCGUCAAAAAGACCUCUGUCAUCCGAUGCUUUGGACAGUAAUUGAGAUAUUCGUAACAAAUGCUUCACUACCCGAAGAGAAAACUAGUUUUCGUUGGUUUCCGCAUUUUGUGAAAAUAAGAAAGGGCAUGUUUGAGUCAGAGUCGGGUUAUUAUAAUUGGAUUAUCGACUCUAAUAAUUAGAGUGCUAGAUUUUUUGUGGUGGAACCUAUCCAUUUCUUGCCUAGCCAGCCAACUAUCAUGAUGCUACAUGGUAUUUAAGUAACGACCAUUUUCUCAAAUGGUCAAGGAUUAUAUUCUUCUUUGAUUUUUUUUUCCCUUCAAGUGGCCUAGGGUUUUGUAGUCUAAUGUGAACAAUAUCAGGUGAAAACAAAAUAGCAUCAAAGAAUAGAUAGCCAAAAUGCCUAACGAAAAGGAAAAUUGUGGGUUACAUGUCUCAUGAAUUAUUUGAUGAAGUAGAAUAAGAUACGUUCGGUUAUUUGAGAGAAAAAAAAACUGCACAACAUAAAAAAAUAACUGUUUGCCUAGUUGGCUAAGAAAAAAUAUAGUGGGCUCCAUGGCUCCUAAGACUCUUUAAAUAUCAUGUAAAUGGAUAUAAAAGAAGUCAAUAAAUCAUUCUGCUGAUAUUGACUGAAUUAUUUGCUAUCAACAAUUAUCCAAAAAAGAUUUCUUUAAGAAUAAUAUUUCUACCAUGUAAAACAAGAAGAAAAAGACAAAUUAAUCGGAACUUUUGUUUGUGGCUGGAACUAUUGUAAAUGUCAUUGUUGAGUUGAGAUAUUUUUUUUUUGAAGUUCCCUUUUUGCGAGGAAUGAGUAAUCUGAACGUUAUUUGUUUGUGGUUGUUGAUUCCCUGGAGCUGUUAUAGAAGUCAUUAUUGAGUAGAGAUUUUUUGAAGUUCCUUUUUGCAACGAAUGAGUAAAUAGUUGCAUAGAUGUUUGAUGGUAUUAGCAUACUCUGCUUCUAAAAUAAUGAAAGGGAUUUUCCGUUACUAUUUAGUUGUGGACUGAGGCCUGAAGAAGUAUGUUUUGAAACUCGGAAUUUCAUGGAGGAUUUGUAGGAAUCCCAUAUAUAAUAAACAUGUCAAAAUUAAUCCUCCUAUAUUUUCUUGGUCAUUUUCUAGAGCUAGGCUCAUUUAUCUUUAAUUUGUCUAGUGAAGAGUAUAUGUAUAUCCUUUGCUCCAAACAUGUAGUGGUGAGUGGAGUUUACUAAUAUUAUUAUGUGUAGUUAACCUAGAACUAGAAGCUUGGUAACUGAGCCUUAUCUAAUCUGGCCCUAAACUAACUUAUCAUCCAAACUGAUCAGUUGGAGUCUUGUGACGAUGAUAUCUCUGGUUUGUUGUGGAACGGGACUAGUACUGCCGGACAUAUUAUACAUUGGAUGCAUGCGACAUAUAUACAGUGUUGAACUUGUUUAUAUUAAUUUAUCCUGGAUAGCCAAUAGUAGCCCAUAACAUUAACAUGCAACAUAGUAUAUGCAUUUGCAUGUACUGCUAGUUCCCUGCUACGUACGAUCCUGACAGUAGGCACCUAAUCUUUCCAUGCCCCAAUAUUUUACCGCCGCUGUCGCUUCCAUUCUAGAGAGAGAACAAUAUGACCAUCUUGUAAAACAUUCUAGAGAAGAGAUGCAUGGAGAGUAUGGCAAUAAUUUAAGCAGAUUGAUGGGAGCGAGAUAUUUUUAAAGGCAGAUCAUCGAUUGAUGCAUGGGAGCGAGAGAGCUUAGCAGAGAAAAUAAAGAAGAUUGGUGAUUGGUGAUAGGCCGGGGCAGCCGUGGUGCAGCAGCAGCUAGAACUAGAGAAGCUAAAAGGAAGGCUGAUGGCAGGGCAGGGCAGUAGUUUAAGGACGGGUCCAUGCCUGCAGCUAGCUAGCAUCUAUCGACGUUCCUCCGUUGUCGCGGAGCCGGUGGACGCGAAUGGCAUGCGUGGGUGCACUACCCUGCUGAUGCACACAGCAUGCAUUGCUGCCUGCAUGCGACAUGGUAUACAGCUCCCGGCCGGCGUCUCUCCUCUCCUCUCUUCUCUUCUCUUGUCCAUCCAUCGGCAGCAUACGGUCGGUCACUCGCAGCAUGCAUGCUCCUCUGAUCGAGCUCUGCUGGUGUCGUGUCGUGUCGUCGAUGGAUCGGGGCCGGGUUGGGUGUUGCUGCAUUGCAUGCUCCCUAAAGCGCCGCCCUUGUUGCCAAAGUGAAUGCUGCCGACGACGACCGCCGCGCCGCCCGUCUUCUUUUUCGGCGGAGGGGGGCGGCCGGGCACGGGCACGGGCACGGCACAGUCUUCCGGGCAGGGGCAGGGGCAGCCGGGCAAGCCAACACCUGCUAGCGGACGAGAAAUUGAAUCGAAUGGGAAACAAAGAAAAAAUUGAUGGCUGAUGGCUCCAUCUUUCUUUCUGUCUGUCUGUCUGUCGGUCAGUCAUUUUACUAAUUUAUUUGACUGCGCUACGGAGACGACAGUGUAACAUUUUUAUUUGUAUUUAAUAAUUAUUAUUUAACUAUAGACUAAUUAGGCUCAAAAGAUUCGUCGCGUAAACUAUAGACAAACUGUGCAAUUAGUUUUUAUUUUCGUCUAUAUUUAGUACUUUAUACAUGUGCCACAAGAUUUGAUAUGACGGGAAAUUUUAAAAAGUUUUUGAAUUUCGAAGUGAACUGGUCAAAUAUGCAAUGCUUGUACGUGCGCACUAGUUUAUGCCAAUGAUUCAUUUUUCGCGGAUCCUCCGAAUUUCACACCAUACAGUCAGAAUAUAAUUGCUCCAAGACACGUCAAUUUUGAUGCGUCAAUUUGUGCAUGUGGUUCCUGGCACUACUGGAUCCGGCUUCUUUGCCGAGAGCCGCGAGCCCUCGGCAAAUGCCUAAAAGCCCUCGGCAAAGGCUUUGCCGAGGGCCAUAAACGCCCUCGGCAAAGCCUACGGCGCCGUCGAAAAACGUCAAUAUUGACGUCGUCUUUGCCGAGAGCCAUGCUGGCAGGCUCUCGGCAAAGAUUCUUUAUUUUUUUUAAAAAAAGCCUUUGCCGAGAGCCCUGCAGGAAGGCUCUCGGCAAAGAACCCCUUUGCCGAGAGCCAGACAUCCAGGCUCUCGGCAAAGAACCCCUUUGCCGAGAGCCAGACAUCCAGGCUCUCGGCAAAGCUGUAGUUCUUCUGAACCCGGCUUUCUAUCUUUGCCGAGUGCCAGCCAUCCAUGCUCUCGGCAAAGCUGAGAAUUUAGUUUUUUUUUCUGUUUUUUAUCUGUUUUUUACAUGCACAGCCACAUAUGUAUAUAUAUAUAUCACAAAUCCCUUUGUCUAUAUCACAAUCCACAUAUAUAUCACGCAUGAAACAUAUCGAAGUCCACAGAUAUCACAAAUCCACAUAGAUAUGACAAAUAUAACAUUACGUCCAACAUAAACCAUAAGUCACCACAAGUUCAUAACAUAAACCACAAGUCCACGUGAAUAUCACUCCUCGAAGUCGCUAGCGCCUCACCCCUAGUGCUGUGACUCUGACCUGUCGUCGCCGUGGCCUCCGUCGUGUCCCGAGCCUCCAUCUGGCCAAGCCGACCAGGGUGAGUGCCCCCCAGGGUGUGUAGAGCUCGCACCUGCCCACGGCGCCCACAUGGCCUGCCCUGGCACCGACGGGUACGGGUACGAGUACCCGGGGCGCGGAGGAGGGCUGCCGGACAACCCGGGGUGGCCGUGCUGCGGAUGGGCACCAGGCCACGUGUGCUGCGUACUUGGGUGGCCAUAAGUAGUAACCUGCCACCCACUCCUUGGAGAAGGGGUCGGGUUCGAACCCCACGACUGAUGCUACAUAAUAUAAAAGCGAACUCAUUAGUAUCUGCAGGACGGCCACACAAGCCAAAGCAAUAGACAAACAUAUAUACACUCACCGGACUGCCUGCAGGGGCAGGAACAGGGGGUGGAACAGGGGGUGGAGCGAAGAGCGAGGCAGGCAGCGGAGGCGCUGUAGAGCUGUGGAUGGACUGGAAGUAUCCGACUAGGUCCGAGAUCUGACGCUGCGUGUGCUGCUGCUGUGCCUCCAUGUGGCGCCGAUGGGCCUCGUCUCUGGCCGCCAGCGCGGCCGCCAGCUCUCGCCGAUGAGCCUCCUGCAGCUCGUCCUGCCUGGCCCGCAACUCCUCUAGCUGCGACUGCAAUAUUACACCCGCAAUGGUUAAACAAUGCAAAAGGAGAUGUAUAUAUGUAAAAAUAAUGGACGAUGGAUAAAGCUGUAGUUACCUGCAUCGUAGCUAUCUGCUGCACGGAGCUCGGCUGACGAGGCCGUAUGGGGACGUCGGAGGUCGAGCUGCUCCCCUGCCGAACCUCGCGGAGCGUGGGUACGGUGGCCGGGUUGAUUGCGCUGUGGGCAAUCAUGUACCGGCCGUGCUGCUUCCCUCCUCCCGUCCUCAUGAGCAAGUCCGUGUCCGAGACCCUUUGCCGUGGGCCGUCCAGUCUGGCUCUCGGCAAAGACCCUUUGCCGUGAGCCUAACGCGCAGGCUCUCGGCAAAGAACUGCUGACUUUUUUUAUUCUUUUUGAAUUUAGAGCUGAGUUUUUUUUUUUGUCCUUGUGACUCAAUUUCUAAAUACAUUUUAAAAUUUGGCAUUAAUUUGACUUUUUUUGCUAUAUUUAACUAAUUAAUCUUGUUUCUUUAUAUUUUUUCACAUAAUUCAAAUUUCAACUGUAGGUACAUGAAAUAUUACAACUCAAUGAUUCGAAAAAUGAUAGUCAAGAUAUUUGGUGUACGUUGAGGUCGUAACCACAACCACACAUGAAAUCUCAACCCUCUCGCUAACAUAACAUGUCAAGGAAUGUGAGGGAAAAUGGAUUUAUAAUUAUAUAAAUUUCAAAUAAACUCCAAAAAUCACGAAACUUGGCGACGUGUCGUGUUAUCGCAUGUGGAGGCUGUGGUAAAAAAUUCAUAAGGUUCCGAGCAAGUUGCGACACCGGAUGUCUAAAACCCAGACAUCUCCACAUGUUAUCGAAUGUGAUCACAUGCGGAGAUGUCUGGGUUUUAGACAUCUCGUGUCGCAACUUACUCGAAACCUUAUGAUUUUUUUACCACAGUCUCCACAUGCCAUAACAUGACACAUCGUCAAGUUUCGUGAUUUUUGGACUUCAUUUGGAAUUUAUAUAAUUAAAAAUCACUUGUACGACACAUGGAUGGUCAUGUUUUAUAUACAAGAAAUUCAAACUCUUGGGUGAGUUUAUGGAUACAACAUCAAAAUGCAGUCUUGAACAUGAGUAUAAUUUUUUGAAUGACUAUAUUUUAUUAUUUCAUGCUCCUACAGUUCAAAAUUACUUUUUCGAGAAAAAUACAAAUAAAAUAAUUUAAUUAAAAAAUAUAGCAAAAUGUUAUAAAAAGCUCUCAAAUUUGAACAUGUGCUUAUAUACAAUAUGUAAGGGUUACAGAAAAAGUUUGAGUACAAAACUAAAAAAAAUCUUUCUUCUUUGCCGAGAGCUUGACAAGGCACUUGGCAAAGGCCUCCUCUUUGCCGAGAGCCUAACGCCGUGGCUCUCGGCAAAGGUGACGACAACGGUUGCCGUUACCAGCGCUGCUCCUUUGCCGAGAGCCUAUCUUUGCCGAGAGCUAGGCUGUCGGCAAAGCUAGCCUUUGCCGAGGGCUUGCCUUUGCCGAGAGCUUGACCAUCGGUAAAGUUUCUUUGCCGAGGGUCGUUUCUGACUGUCGGCAAAGGCAGUCUUUGCCGAGGGCUAGCUCUCGGCAAAGCUGAGCCCUCGGCAAAGCUCUCGUUUCCUGUAGUGUGGGCUUUGAAUUGAUCGAUGGCAAAAAGCCGUAAUGGAAGCACGUCGCGUCUUGAAUGCAUGCACUAUAUAGGAAUAUAGCUACACAAAAGAAGAGAAAUAAUGACACACAUAGUAGUAGCUAGCUAGUAAAGUGUGUAUGUAAGGCCUUGUUUAGUUCCCAGAAAAUUUUGCAAAAUUUUUCACGGUCCCCGUCACAUCGAAUCUUUAAACGCAUACAUAAAGUAUUAAAUAUAGACGAAAAUAAAAACUAAUUGCACAGUUUGGUCGAAAUAGACGAAACGAAUCUUUUGAGCCUAGUUAGUCCAUGAUUGGAUAAUAUUUGUCAAAUACAAACGAAAGUGCUACAGUGUCGAUUUUGCAAAAUUUUUCGGAACUAAACAAGGCCUAAACCUAAAAGCCCAUGCAUUAUUGCUUUUUAAAAAGUUAAAGCGGUGAUGGAUGGUUUUGUUCAUGGCUCGAGGAGGAUGUGUCCUAGCUAGUUGUUGGUGGGGGAGGUGAGAGUACCUAGGAAAAUUUGCUUACAUUUUCCUGUACAUGCAUGCAUGCAACGCUAAUUGGAUGGAUAUGGUCGGAACAUGCAUGGGUCCACCAUUCACAUCUCUUGGUCCUACACGCACGCCUACUAUUGUGAUGCGUCUCAGCUUUUUAAUGUGCCUGCGUUGCAUGCAUGCAGCUGGGUACGUAAGGACACGCCGCAAGCUGCCCAAACUCUAGCUCUGCUUCCCGCAUUGCAUUGCAUUGUAUCUACCUCGUGGCGCAUUAGGGUUAGAGAGAGAGAGAGAGAGAGAGAGAGAGAGAGAGAGAGAGAGAGAGAGAGAGAGAGAGAGAAGUGUGGUAUAGCUAGCAUGCAUCCAUAUAUAUCCGAUCGACCUGUAGUUCAUGGCACAUUCAUUAGGUUUGGAAGAGUGAGAUCGAGGCAGGACGAUAUGUAGUACGUCGUCGUCCUUCGUAUAAACGGACAUUCGCUCAAUGUUGAAUUGUUGACAGACGACGAUGCGCGCGGCACUUUGUUUGACCAUGCAUGCAUUCAUCCGUGCAUGCAUGGAGCGUCUAUGUGCUUGUCCCUGAAUAAACUAAUUAAUCACUGCACGAACUCGAUCGCCUUGCUGUCAACUUAGCUUAGCUUAUUACAAGUGUGUUAACGACAAGCAAUCAUGGAAAUGAGCUGCAUAUAGACACUGUUCACAAUGCACGUUAUGUUGGAGCACUAGCUAUAGCUAAUUAAUGAGCCAGCAAUUAACAAAACGCCUGCUAAACCAAAAUAUGCAUUUAAGCCAUGUUUCGUUUCCUCCGGUAAAGUUUAACUCCUGUCAUAUCGAGUGUUUGGACACAUGCAUUAAAUAUUAAAUAUAAAUUAUUUACAAAACUAAAAUAAAACUAGAGAGUAAUUUGCGAAAUAAAUCUUUUAAAUCUAGUUAGUCUAUAAUUAGAUACUAAUUGUCAAAUAAAACAGAAAUAUGCUAUAUGCUACAGUACAUCCUUAACCGGCAAGUACAGGCCGGGUGAGGCAUGUCGGAUGCUAGAGAUGGCCAAAUGGGCUAAGCCCAAUAAUACGCAGCCUAAGCACAUAUGGGCCUACUAAAGCAUCGCAUUACAUUAUGGGUCGAGCCACUAUGUGUCUCGUGCCCUUUUUUACCAUUCAAAAUGGGUGCUCUCAGGAUGGAUCAUAAUUAUGCCCCUUUUUAAUUCGAGAGCAAUGUUGAUCAAAUUUCGUCGUAGUUGCAGCACAGCCAAAAAAAAAAACUAACAAAAAGAGCCUGUCAGACAACCCAUGGGCCAUCCCAGCCAGGCAAGCCUGGCCGGAAACGAUCAUCUACAGCACCGGACAAAGCGUCAGAGCCAAUCCUGGCCGUUAAUCACGCUCUGGCCCACAGGUCAUGGCUCAUCAACCAGGCUUAAGUGCUUGCCUCCUUAUUAAUCAAGGAUGCAGCGGUACGAUCCUAUAGAACAGAUCCUGUUCAAGUAAGGUCGU
RNAcentral lists this long non-coding RNA (51987 nucleotides) under Sorghum bicolor (sorghum). Its description in RNAcentral is "long non-coding RNA (SBIC_LNC000284)". Lineage: Eukaryota; Viridiplantae; Streptophyta; Magnoliopsida; Poales; Poaceae. The record is from RNAcentral.